CCCAUUCUACGCGUACGGGGACCGGUCCCCUCCUCCUGAGGGACCGGACCCCGAGAGCAAUUUUCGUACGCAGCAUUUUUCUGCCACACACCAUACGUACGGGAACCGGUCCCUCCCGUCAGGGACCGGUGUUACGAUAUAUUUUAUCUAUAUUAGGAUGUUACGAUAUAUUAGGAUAUUGUGUUUUAUUGCCUUAUAUAGAGUAGUAUCAUUGCCUUCUAUAGAGUAGGAUUAUAUAGUAUGUAAUCCUAGUUAUACUCUUACUAUAGUAGUCAUUGUUACUAUAGUAAGACAAUCUCUUGUACUAUAUAUAUUCAUUAAUACAACUCAAGAGGGUAUGCACUUUAGCCCUUCUUUCAUGGUAUCAGAGCGGGAACCCUAAUGUGGGGAUAUCGAUCCAUAGCCACCAUCCACCAUUAAUCUCACCUUUUUCUAUAGGUGUCUUUUCUUUUGGUUUUCUAUCUUCCCAAUACUGCUACAGUACUGCUACAGUAUCAUCGCUACAGUACUGGCGCUACAGUAACAGCGCUACAGUAACAGCGCUACAGUAUUUCUGCUACAGUAUUUUCAGCCUUUCUGUGAUUUCUCUUUGCUCCUCUGGUGCCGCUCGGACUGUCCUACUGUUGGUUGCUCGUAUCACUCGGUUCUUUCCUUGGUGCGGUCGAUCUUAUUUGGUGAUAAGUGGUUCCUCUCAUGUGAUAGAAUUCAGGUUUUUUUUUUAUUCACAUCCGCUACAUUCCGAUUUAUCUUUCUUUCUUAUCUAGUGGUGGAUCCUUAUCUUAAGGUAGUAAACAUGUCUUCUUCUACCUCAAAUUUGCCAAUUGUUAAUAUCAAAACUCUCAUACCACUAGAACUCACCGAUUCUACAUAUCUUGUGUGGAAACAAGUCUUUCUUAAUGUUCUAGAAAGUUUUGAUGUUACAAAACAUGUGGACGGAACUAGUGUUGUGCCUUCUCAGACUAUCGAUACUGCUGAUAAGAAGGAGGUUAUAAAUCCUGAAUAUGUGAGUUGGAAAAAGAACGAUACUACUAUACUUUCAUGGAUUAAUGCCACUUUAUCUCUUAGCAUAUUACAUAUGGUUGUUUCUAGCUCACCUAAAACUGCAUAUGAUGCUUGGAGAAUUAUUGAGGCAUAUUUUCUUGAUAAGACUGCUUCCACGGCUUUUUCUCUAAAAUCUGAAUUGCGGAGCAUCAAGAAAGGCUCAAUGAGCAUGAGUGAUUACAUGCAAAAGAUCAAGACGAUUGGUAAUGCUCUUCAGGCGAUUGGUGAAAUCGAGUCAGACCAUAAUUUGGUCAUGACUGUUCUUCUAGGGCUACCUGAGGAAUAUCGAGGUUUUGUUAGUGCUCUAAACACACACAGAAAUAAGCCAACUUUUGAACAACUUCGUCCACUCUUGAUGCAAGAAGAAACAGAAGUUCAGCGUCGCACUAGUGUGACUACGUCCUCUGCUAUUCCCACUAUUGACAGUGAAGCUCUUUAUGCCAAUCGUGGACGUGGUAAUCGUGGAGGCCGUGGAGGUAGAUAUCGUGGAGGCCGAGGACAACGUGGUAGACACUAUUCUGGUCGUGGAUCUCCUGAAAUCUACCCACAGUCUCAACCUAAUUAUCCUCAACAAUCUUACACUCCAAAUCAACAACCAUAUAUUCCGAAGUCCGGCAUACAAUGUCAGAUAUGUGGAAAGUUCAAUCAUUCUGCUCUUCAGUGCAGACAACGCUUCAAUCAUUCUUUCGCUGCUGAUGAAGUUCCUCAGACCUUUGCUGCUAUGAACCUUCACGAACCCGGUGAGGAAGUCUGGUAUCCGGAUACCGGAGCAUCAAAUCAUAUAACCGCAAACUCUGGUAUUCUCUCAUCUUCUAAACCUUAUAGUGGGCAUGAAAAAAUUCUUGUUGGUAAUGGAAAUUUACUUGAUAUUACUCAGACAGGUGAAACUCAAUUGAAUACAUCUUCUAACUCUUUUGCUCUAAAAAAUGUUCUUGUUGUUCCUACUAUUAAGAGAAAUUUACUUUCAGUGCGUAAAUUCUGUCAAGAUAAUAAUUCUCUUUUUGAAUUUGACUCUACUGGUUUCUCUGUGAAGGACAAGGAAACAGGGAAGGAGCUUCUUCGAUGUCCUAGCUCGGGAACAUCACUUUAUCCAAUUUCUUCUAGACUUGCAAGUGUAGGGAAUAAGCAACAACUAGCUCUUAUUGCAUCUAGAUUUAGUGGAGAUGUCUGGCAUAGACGGUUAGGUCAUCCUAGUCUUCCUGUUCUUUCUACAUUUAUUAAAAAUAAUAAAAUUGUUUCUGAUUCUGCACUGAAAUUAUCUGUCUGCAAUGCUUGUAAUAUGGGAAAACAUGUUAAACUCUCAUUUCAUGAUUCAGAAUCUCAAUCUGCUUUUCCUUUUCAUAUUGUUCAUUCUGAUGUUUGGCAAUCACCUGUGCCCUCGGUUUCUGGAUACAAAUAUUAUGUUAUUUUUAUCGACGAUUAUUCUAGAUUUUCCUGGCUUUAUCUUUUAAAAUUUAAACAUGAAGUUUUUGACAAAUUUUUCGAGUUCAAGAAGAUGGUUGAAAAUAUAUUUCAUAGCUCAAUAAAAAUUUUUCAAUCUGACAAUGGUACGGAAUUUGUAAAUGACAAGUUUUCUAGUUUUUGCUCACAAAAUGGAAUUAUUCACCGAUUUUCUUGUCCUUACACUCCUCAACAAAAUGGCCUUGCUGAGAGAAAACAUAGGCAUUUAUCUAACAUUGUUAGAAGUCUACUAUUCCAAGCUGGCUUGCCUCCUCGUUUUUGGGCUGAGGCCAUUCAAACUGCUGUUUUUCUUGUAAAUCGACUUCCGUCUCUUACUGUUUUAAAUGGGCGGUCACCAUAUGACAUUCUCCAUGGUUGUGCUUCUCCUGACUUGCAACUUAUCAGAGUCUUUGGAUGUUUGUGUUAUCCCGAUGUUCAGGACAUUGCAGAUCACAAGCUCUCUCCCCGAUCACUUCCUUGUAUUUUCUUGGGUCUUUCUGACAAACAUAAGGGCUUUCGCUGCCUCUAUCCGAGCACUGGUAAAGUUUUUAUUUCUCGCCAUGUUACUUUUGUUGAAACUGUUUUUCCUUACUCUUGUCUGUCCAAAUUUUCUUCCUCAUCUUCCCCCACUACCUCAAAUUUUCAAAUGUUUCAACAUUUUCUUUCUAAUCCUCCCUUAUUGGGCGAAAGUCCUUCCUCUCUUGAUGCCAUCUCUGGUUUUUCCUUCACACGCCUUUCUCCGGAUGUUAGUUCAAAUGCAUCUGUUUCACCAUCUGAGACUGUAUCGACUUUUCCUUCCACCUUGAAUCAUGAUGCCACACAGGUUAGUGAUGAACAUGCUGCCACUGUUGCUGGUCCACCUGAACUCCGAGUCUAUACCAGACGACACACCCUCCGACCUUCUGCUGCUACAGCUUUACCUUCUCCUGUUGAGUUGACGCCUUCCACAUCGGACAGGCCACCUUCACCUCAGCCUGCAGAGCCUUCCUUACCAAUCCGGACACACUCUAUGCUUACUCGAUCUAUGGCUAAGAAUUUUGCUGGGUCUACCUCCUUCCUAGCUUCUACACAUACUACUCUUCCUACUGAGCCUAUCACUUUUCAUGAAGCUUUUCAGGAUGCAGAUUGGCGUGCUGCCAUGGCUGAAGAAUUUGAUGCAUUACUCACCAAUGAUACUUGGGAGCUUGUUCCUGCUCCUCCUUCUGUCAAUCUUAUUGGCUGUAAAUGGGUCUACAAAGUCAAACAGAAGGCGGAUGGCUCUCUUGAGCGUCUCAAAGCUCGACUAGUGGCUCAGGGUUACAAACAACAACAAGGCAUUGAUUUUGAUGAGACUUUUUCUCCGGUUGUCAAGUCGACCACUAUUCGUACUGUUCUUUCAGUCGCUCUCUCCUCUGGAUGGUCUCUCCGACAACUUGAUGUGAAGAAUGCCUUUCUUCAUGGCACUCUCUCUGAGGAGGUUUAUAUGAAACAACCACCUGGCUUUGUGCAUCCUUCGCUUCCUAGUCACGUUUGCCGCCUACGUAAAGCGAUAUAUGGUCUCAAACAAGCUCCUCGGGCUUGGUUUCAGCGUUUCACUUCUUUUCUUUCUGAGAUUGGUUUUGUUGGCAGCACUGCUGAUCCCUCAAUGUUUGUUUGUCAUUCUUCCUCUGGCACUCUUGUUCUCCUCUUGUAUGUUGAUGAUAUUAUUGUCACCGGCAGUUCCUCAUCUCUUCUCGAUGCUCUUAUCGUUACUUUACAACGCGAAUUUGCCAUGAAGGAUCUCGGACCGCUGCAUUAUUUUUUGGGUAUUGAGGUUCAUCGCUCUCCAUCUGGUCUUCAUCUAUCUCAACAAAAAUAUGCGCAUCAAUUGCUUCAGCGACAUGGUUUUCUUGACAGUAAGCCCGUUUCUACUCCUCUUUCGCCAACAUCUCGUCUCUCUUCCCAUGAAGGGCAUCUUCUUGAGGAUCCAUACACUUAUCGUCAGAUCGUUGGUGCUCUCCAGUAUCUCACUUUCACCAGACCGGACAUUUCAUAUGCCGUCAACUCUGUUGCCCAGUAUCUUCAUGCACCUCGUGAACCACACAUGCAAGCGGUCAAACGUAUUCUGCGUUAUAUUCGGGGGACGCUGACUUAUGGCCUUCCUAUCUCUCGCUGUGACAAUCCUUCUCUUGUGGCCUUCGCUGAUGCUGAUUGGGCUGGUUGCCCCGAUACACGUCGCUCUACUUCUGGAUAUUGCAUUUUUCUUGGGCCAAAUCUUAUCUCCUGGUCCGCUAAGAAACAACCCACCAUUUCUCGUUCUAGUUCUGAAGCAGAGUAUCGUGCUGUAGCCUACACACUUGCUGAGACAGUCUGGAUUCGUCGUCUCCUUCGUGACCUUCGUGUUUUCUUAUGGCGCUCUAUCAGUAUUUAUUGCGAUAAUCUCAGCACCACCUACCUUGCGGCCAAUCCUGUUCUCCGUGCUCGCACGAAGCACAUUGAACUUGAUCAUCAAUUUUUGCGGGAAAAAGUUCAGUCUGGUGAUUUGGCCUUAAUUCAUAUCCCUUCUGACAAGCAACUUGCCGACAUUUUCACCAAGCCCCUGUCAUCCUCUCGGUUUUCGAUAUUGCGGCUCAAUCUUCGCAUCCGACCACCGGAUGCUUAGCUUGCGGGGGGAUGUUACGAUAUAUUUUAUCUAUAUUAGGAUGUUACGAUAUAUUAGGAUAUUGUGUUUUAUUGCCUUAUAUAGAGUAGUAUCAUUGCCUUCUAUAGAGUAGGAUUAUAUAACAUGUAAUCCUAGUUAUACUCUUACUAUAGUAGUCAUUGUUACUAUAGUAAGACAAUCUCUUGUACUAUAUAUAUUCAUUAAUACAACUCAAGAGGGUAUACACUUUAGCCCUUCUUUCAACCGGUCCCCGAGAGCAAAUUCUGCAAUUGUGCAGAAUUGCACCAGCUUGCUCUCCGAGGCCCUCUUCAAUGCACUUAAGCACUUUUUGACGCCUUCGGCCUUUCCGAAGAGUACCCAACCGACAAUCGGUCGAUUCUAACCGAAGUUCAACUCUCGCAUUUCGAAAAUUCACUUCCUUAUAUAUUCCCUACACUUGCAACUUUAGAAGAGAUUGGAUAGAGCGAUGUUCCCGACCUAGGGCAUCGAAGAAGCUCCGUUCCUGUUUUCUUGUCCUUCAAAGAAAAACCAAAAGAGUCAAAUUCAAAAAAGGAAUUAUUGUCAUGACAGAAUUGACGCACUGAAAGUAAAUUUCUCUUAAUAAAAGUAACAACAAAAACAUUUUUAAGAGCAAAAGAGGUAGAAGAUGUACUCAAUUGAGUUUCACCUGUCUAAGUAAUAUUAAGUAAAUUUCCAUUACCAACUAGAAUUUUCUCAUGCCCAAUAUAAGGUUUGGAAGAAGAGAGAAUACUAGAAUUCGCAGUUAUGUGAUUAGACGCUCCAGUGUCUAGAUACCACACUUCCUCACUAGGUUCAUGAAGAUUCAUAGUAGCAAAAGUCUGAGGGACAUCAUCAACCACGAAUGAGUGAUUGAAGCGUUGUCUGCACUGAAGAGCAGAAUAGUUGUACUUUCCACAAAUAUGACAUUAUGUGCCAGACUUCGGAAAAUAAGGUUACUGAUUUGGAGUGUAAGGUUGAGGAGGAUUAUUAGGUGAAGGAAGUGGAUAGGUUCCAGGAGAUCCACGACCAGGAUAAGAAUUGUCUACCGCGCUGUCCUCGGCCUCCGCAAUGUCUUUCUCCACGGCCACCACAAUUACCACGUCCACGAUUUGCAUAAAAGGCUUCUCCGUCAACAGUGGUAGUAGAGGGCGUCGUUAAGCUAGUACGACAUUGGACUUCUGUUUCUUCUUGCAGCAAGAGUGGACGUAGUUGUUCAAAGGUAGGCUUACUUCUGUGUGUGUUUAGGGCACUAACAAAACCUCUGUAUUCUUCUGGUAGUCCUAGCAGAAUAGUCAUGACCAAAUUAUGGUCAGACUUAGUUUCACCAAUUGCCUGAAGAGCAUCACCAAUCGACUUGAUCUUCUGCAUGUAAUCACUCAUGCUCAUCGAGCUUUUCUUGAUGCUUUGUAAUUCGGGCUUUAGAGAGAAAGCCGUGGAAGCAAUUUUAUCAAGAAAAUAAGUUUCAAUGGUUUGUCAGGUAUCAUAUGCAAUUUUGGGUGAGCUAGAAAUUACCAUUUGUAAUAUACUAAAAGAUAGGGUAGCAUUGAUCCACGAAAGUAUAGUAGUAUCUUCUCUUUUCCAACUUAAAUAUUCAGGAUUUAUAACCAUCUUAUUAUUAGCAGUAUCGAUAGUCUGAGAAGGCACAACACUAGUUCCGUUCACAUGUGAUGUAACACCAAAACUUUCUAGAACAUUAAGAAAGACUUGUUUCCAUACAAGAUAUGUAGAAUUAGUGAGUUCUAGUGGUAUGAGAGUUCUGAUGCUAACAACUGGUAAAUUUGAGAUAGAAGAAGACAUGUCUGCCACCAAACUAGCUGUAUCAAACGCACAAGAGAUGAACCACUUAGCACCAAACAAGAACGGCCGCCCCAGGAAAAGGAUCGAGCGACACGAGCAACUAGUGAGCGGUACCAGAAGAGUAAAGAGGAUUCACAAAGAGGCUGAAAUUACUGUAGCAAAACUAAUGUAGCACUGGUACUGUAGUAGUACUGUAGUGCUGGUACUGUAGCAGUUCCGGAGAGAUAGAACACCAAAAAGAAAAGAACACCUAUGGCUCGGCCACUUCAAACAUAACUCGGCCCAACCUGCCCUCCCGCCUUUUCAAGUGACUCAGCCCAACCUGGCCUCCCGUCACAGGACAGGAUGCUGGCCUAUUUAAGCCAACAAUCCUUCCUCCAGCACCUACACACAUUCGCAGCAUGCGGGAAUUGAAUUCGUGACCUCUGGCUCUGAUACCAUUUGUCGGAUUUUUGGUGCUAACCAUUAAUCUCAAAAGCUCGAGCUAUUAAAAAUAUGCAACCAAUUUACUUAAAGCGUAUAAACACAUUGUGCAGGGGUCUCGAUUGUGACUCGGCUCAUCCAGCCUCGCACCACUUUAAACAUAACUCGGCCCAACUUGGCCUUUUGCCAUUUCGAACGUGACUUGGCCCAACUUGGCCUCCCGCCACUGGGCAGGAUGCUGGUCCAUUUAAGCCAACACAUUUAUGCCGAGGAAAGAUCAUAGGCUAGAGGAACCUGUGGAGGAGAGAGAAUAGCGCAAUAGAAAACUCAUUAAAUUUCAUCCAUGAAUAUUUGGUUCGAUGCUGAAGAAAAUGCAGAUUUUAUCUUGAGUACCUGUUUUUUGUUGAAGCAAACUAGUGGCUAUCAUGUCAGUAUAAAUAUUGUGUUACUAGCUUUUGCCAACUCUUGUAAAACUACAUUAUUCAUUUUGUGAUAAUCAGCAUGGUGGUUCCACUAAUGCUACUACAUCUUCUGAGAGCACAAAUUUCUAUUUUGAUGUCAACGUAGAUUGCUCCGAAGAGGCCUUGGAUAGGUAAAUUUUUUUUUCCUUUUGUUUUUUACACAGCAUUCCCUAAAGAUCAAGUUAAGGUGAAAGUUAUUCUUUGAUUUUUCACUUUCAGAUUUGCACAAUUCUUUAAUAAGCCGUUGAUGUCUGCCGAUGCCACUCUUAGGGAGAUAAAAGCUGUGGACUCUGGUCAGUAAUGCUGGUUUUUUAAAUUUUUCUCAUCUUGGAUUUCAUAGUUACUGUUCUGCAUAUUUUUUUGUCAAAUUUAGCUUUGUUUUCCUUUUUUCCUCCAGAGAACAAGAAGAACCUAUUGUCCGAUUCCUGCAGGAUGAUUCAGGUAAGUUUUCCAAAAUCGCAAGAGCCUAUUCAAUCAAACAUCUAAUUACUUUUAAUCGGCUUUUCUCAGUGCAAAUUAGCAUUUUAUUAUUAAUAUUGAGGAUCUCUACUCAACUAUGCAUAAUAAACUAUCUUGCAAAAAGUUAGUUGUGACAUUUAUUGUUGAUUGUAAAAUAACUCUUCUCAAAACUUACUCCCUCUUGUAAUUCUCAUCCUUACCAUUCUUGAGUAGUUGAUAUUGUUGAUUCCUCUUUCUCUUAUCCACUUUUACUCCCUCUCACUCUCUCUCUCUCUUCUGAUGGUGACACUGUAGUUUAAUUUCAGUCUUUGUAUCUCGAUCUUUUCAGCUUGAAAAGCAUCUCUCUUCAAAGGACCACCCAUAUCAUAAAUUCAGUACUGGUGAGUAAUCUUAUAAUCGACUAAUUAAUUGAUGUCCUCAUCACAAACUUGUUCCACACUAAUGUCUUUAUUUCCCUUUUAUUUUUUAUUUAUAAUAGGCUUUUUUGGGUCUGAAUGCAACUCAAAAGUAGUUUUAAGUAGUUUUAUGUCAGCAAAUGCGACUGCUUUAGUAAGAUGGGCAUUUUGCAACUUGCUUAAAAGUAGGAAAUAUGGCAAUGCCUCUAAGACCAUUCAUUGGUUAGAUUAGUUUUGGUUUUUCACCUUUACAAGAAAUCAUGAACACUAGUGUAGGGACCCGCGCGAUGCAGCGGGUAUAUAUUACUGGAGUUAAAAUUUCGUUAGUGAGAGCUACUCUUAGUUCUAACUACAAUAUUUUAAACAAAAAAAGUAAAAAUAAGUAUAAAAAAAUAAUAAGUUAUAUUUCUAUAUAAAGUGAGGCAUAGGAAGUUAUAGCAAGUGGUGUGCUUUUCAACUAAAUCUUUAUGAAAAAGAUACAGAUUACAUAAGGAGAAGAAGAAACAGCAGAAUACGUAAAAAGGAGGAGCAGUAAAUUGCUAGCAAAAGAAGAAGAAGAGAAAAUAAAAAGGGUAGAAGAUGCAGCAGAGAAGCAGUAGGCAACAACUCUUGCCAAUUGUUUUCAAAACUAUUCAUUUGCUCUACUACAUCUUUUUUCUAGAUAAAAUUCCGAGAUAUAUGCAAUUCAUCCACUCAGUCUAAGUAUUAAGGAAAAAAUAAUUUCUCAAACACAAACUUCCGAAAAAUUUGUUGAGUUCAGAUAUUUACGCUUUUCUCAAUAUUUUUCUGAAACAAAACAACUUUCUUUCUUGGUUGCAAUAGAUUGCUCUACUAUCUAACUUUCUAUCAUCAUUGCUCUUCUUUAUUUUAGCAGAUUCUCAAAAUGUGUGCCAGAAAAAGCAUGAAGAUCAAAUUCAAAUGUUUUUUUUAUCGUCACCAAUUUUUAUAUAGAUGUAAUAGAAGCAGCAUAAGUGGAAGAAGUAGCAACAACAGCAGCAGGAGUGUAACUCGAAAAAAUGAUGUAAAAAAAAACCAGGGUUAAAAACCGACUCGAAUUGUCGAAUCCGAUCGAUCAGAUCCCCAAAAUCAGCGAAUUGGAUUUGAUGCAAAAUUCUCCCGAGCGUUGCAAUUGGUCAAAAAAUUUUCAAUUGAUCUACCCAAUAUGGCCAAUCGAAUUGCCAUCCAACUGAUCGGAUGGUUCGAAGUAGAAUUAUGAAGCUGAUUCCGACUGGUCAGAUUUUCGAUCAAUUAGAUUGUUCAUAGAGGAGGCACCCCAACACUGUUCUCAUUUGUAAUAGAAGUUCAUUUGCCUGGCCUAUUCAUCCUAUAAUGUUGUUAAAACCUCUUAAUUCAUGUUAAUCAUAAAUAUAAUGUGAUAGUAUAUAUAUAAUUAUUUUGUUGUUAUUUUUUCUCUUAUAAGAUAAACAUCAAUGCAUUAUGCAGGAUAACAUAAUAGCAAUAGUGGUCCUCAGCAUGAAAGGCUCAUAGUGUGAAAAAUGGGAUGCUGGGUUGUGAGAGAACAUAGGCACAAUUGUUGGUGGAAAGUGACUCAAAGCCUUAUAAGACUCUUCAACCAUUCCCGAUACGCCAAUUGAGAUGAUGACCACAAACCAGUAUUAACAUCAUAAUUGCCACCGACUGUCCCUAGAGCAAGUGGUAAAGGGCUUGGUGGUUGGUACCCGAGACCUAAGUUCGAAUCCUAGUUGAUUCACAUUUCCAGCUAAGUUUGUUUCUAAAUGAAAUAAACGAAGCGGGUAGCGUGCGUGCUAUCUAUCUCUCAAAAAAAAAAAAAAAAAACAUCAUAAUUGCCACAUUACCCAACCAUUAACUAAUUGGGAAAGAAUUGGAAUACUGAUUCAACUCAGUUUGUUAGUUUUGAUAAUCGUCCUUCUUUGUAGAAGAAGAAUGAGCAAUAGAAAUUUUUUAAAAAAAUAAUAGAAGAAGAUUAAAAUAACAUAUUUUUUUUCAAAUUUUUAACUUAACCUUUAAGAAGAUUUACAAUACUUAAGAAGGGGAAGAAAUAGAAGAAUUGAUAGCGCAAAAAGAAGAAGAGAAAAAAUAAAAAGAGCUGAAGAUGCAAUGCUCUUCAUACAAAUCAACUUUAUUAACAUUCUUUUUUAUAAAUAAUAGUCAAACCAUUAUCUAAUUGCUGCAGAACAUUAUAAAAUACAUCAAAAUCUAUUACUUUUCUACAUAUUUGAAUACACAGGGUACAAAUUAGUUCAAAAUGCAUUCAUGUAGAGAGAGAGUGGGAUACCUGCGAGAAGAUUUUUCAACGAUUGAUGGUGAAACUUUUCAUGUUUCCAUGAUCCAAAUCUGAUAGUAACCUUCAACCCAAAAAAAGAAAAAUCCUUUUAUUUUAAAAGUUCUAACAUAGCGGAAAAACAUCAUUUGUUAUUUUGAAACUAAAAUAGGUAAAAAAAAAAAAAAAAAAGUCUAAACGUACCUUGAGCAAGCUAGGAAUAAUAAUAAUAAAAAAAAAUCUAAACAUAAUUAAUAAUAAUCAUAUUUUUUUUGAGGGUGUGAAAGUGUGAGAGAGCAGCACCUUCAUUGUCUCUAUCUUUGUCGCGCUCCCCCUCGCCUGCCGGGCCCUACGCACUUUCGUCAUCGUCGACACCGACGCCCUCGCUGUUACCUCAUCGCCGUGCACUACCCCACCCACCCUCCAUCGGCCACGUCAUUAUGUGGAAUCGAACUUGAUCUCAACAAAGCCGAAGGCUUCAUACUGUGCCUCCGUGCAAGCACCACCAUGGUGGCCUUCGAGUGCGCCGAGUCGUUAGAGAAGAUGAAUCGUGGGUGAGGUCGAAGAUGGGAGGGACCUUCAACACAGUAGGGGUCAUCAAAUACAGUGGAGUGGAGGAAGCGCUGGAAAGGGUAGAUGGAACAACAAUGCAUCUAGCCCUGUUUUCUGUCGAGAGGGGCUUCAGUUUCAGAAAACGAAUAAACGGCUCGAGAAGAGGAAAAGCCCAUUUCAAAAAAGAAGAUUAAUAGUCAAAAAAAAAAAAUGAAGAAGAGUAACAGUCAAAAAAAAUAAAUGAAGAAAUGGCUCAAGAAAAGAAAAAGUCCAAUUCAAAAGAGAAGAGUAACAAGUCAAAAAAAGAAGGAAAGCAAGCAUAAAAAAACCCACAUCCUACUAUGAAGGUUGGGCUGCCACGUGGAUUAGUUUUUGAGGUUUAAUAUAGGGUUAUAGAUGAGCAAACUUAUGAUCAACAUAAUGUAUUUAGAUAAACAAUGCUGAAUAUGAUAGAAUAUCUCCAUUGAUGAUUUUCUUUUGUCUUAUAGUAUUUGCAAGUGUUGGGAUAUUGUCAUGCCCCGGCACUGAAGCCCUACUAGGAGCACACACAAACUUGCCGCACGGACAUAAUUUCCCUUAUAUAUGCACAGAGUUGAAGUGCAAAGCAUCCGGCAAUUUUCAUGAUUUGCAAAGAAAACAACCUUGGAAUGUAAACUUUAAAGCAAUACCAUGAGUGUUCACAAAAGCCAUCAAGUUUCCAAUAUACACAAGUCCAACUAUAGAGUUUAGAAUAUCAAUGUAACAAUUAACCAAAAAACAUCUAAACUAUUAAAAUUUACACGAGUCCCAACUACAGAGUUUUGAAGAAGAGAAUACAAAGAGAAUACAAAUUCUUCUUAUUCAUUCAAUAAUGAAUUACAAAGAUAUAUAUACAUAAAUAUUCCUAUAAUAAGAUAUUUAAUAAGGAAAGAUCUCUAAAGAAAGAUGCCUAAAACUAUGCUAGCUAAAUAGGAACAUAAUAUAUACAAUUUUGACUUUCCAUAACAUUUUGACUUUCCAUAACACUCCCCCUCAAGUUGGAGCAUAGAUAUUAAUCAUGCCCAACUUGUUACAAAUGUAGUCAACCCGAGCUCCAUUCAAAGCUUUUGUGAAGAUAUCCCCCAACUGGUCUCCAGUCUUGAUAUACCCUGUUGAAAUGAUCUUAUGUUGUAUCUUUUCACGAAUAAAGUGACAAUCAAUCUCAAUAUGUUUAGUUCACUCAUGAAAUACAAGAUUAUAGGCAAUAUGGAGAGUAGCUUGAUUAUCACACCAUAAUUUAAUGGGUUGUGGAUUCUUAAGACCAACCUCAUCCAAUAAUUGUUGUAUCCACAUUACUUCACACACAGAUUGUGCCAUAGCCCUGUAUUCCGAUUCAGCACUUGAACGGGAGACAACACUGCUUCUUACUUCUCCACGACACCAAGUUACCUCCAACAAAAACACAAUAUCCUGUAGUCGAUCUCCUAUCAACAUUUGAACCCGCCCAAUCUGCAUCUGAAAAGCAUUCAAUAUUUGAAUGUCCAUGGUUCUUGUACAAGAUACCACGCCCUGGAGCUCCCUUCAGAUAACACAAAAUUUGUCCCAAAGCUUCCCAAUGAGUAACAGUUGGAGAAGACAUAAACUGACUUAAUACACUGACGGAGUAUGCAAUAUCUGGUCGAGUCACUGUAAGAUAGUUCAAUUUGCCAACUAAUCUCCUAUGCCUCUCUGGAUCUUCAAACAAUUCAUCAUCAUUAGCUGUAAGUUGGAGAUUAGGAGCCAUUGGUGCACUGCAAGGUUUAGCUCCUAAUUUUCCUGUUUCUGUUAAUAAGUCAAGCACAUAUUUCUGUGAGAUAAGAAGAUGCCUCUUUUGCAUCUUGUAACUUCAAUACCCAAAAAAUACUUCAACAUCCCCAAGUCCUUUGUCUGAAACUGGGUUUGAAGAAAAAUCUUGAGAGAUGAGAUUCCUGCAGUAUCAUUCCCAGUGAUGAUAAUAUCAUCCACAUACACUACUAAUAGAAUUAUACCAGUCUCAGAAUGUCUAUAAAAUACAGAAUGAUCACACUUACUCUUCUUCAUGCCAAACUCCUAAACUACUUCACUGAAUCUGCCAAAGCAAGCUCAAGGACUUUGCUUCAAGCCAUAUAAAGAUUUCCGAAGUCUACAAACUCGACCUAACUUCCCUUGAGCAACAAAACCAGGUGGUUGCUCCAUAUAUACCUCUUCAUGAAGAUCACUAUGGAGAAAAGCAUUUCUAAUAUCCAGCUGGUGUAAAACCCAAUAAGAGGUGGCCGCCAACGAAAUAAAUAAGCGAACAGAAGCAAGUUUAGCCACAGGAGAAAAAGUGUCGGAAUAAUCAACCCCAUAAGUCUGAGCAUAGCCUUUGGCAACAAGGCGGGCUUUGAGGCGAGCUACAGAACCAUCUGGAUUCAUUUUCACAGUAAAUACCCAUUUGCAACCAAUAGCUCGCUUAUCGGCAGGUAAGGGUACCGGUUCCCAAGUACUAUUAGCGUCUAAAGCCAUCAUUUCCUCUUCCAUUGCAGCACGCCAGCCAGGAUGAGACAAAGCUUCCACAACAGAUUUAGGAACAGAAACUGACUUUAGAGAGGUAAUGAAACAACGAGAACAGGAUGACAAACAGUCAUAAGAAACAAAUGAUGAAAUAGGGUAAGUACACGUAUGUUUGCCUUUGCGAAGAGCAAUGGGAAGAUCAGAGUCAGAAGCAAGGUCGGUGAUAGUAGUGACUGGAUCUUCCGACGAAGAAGCUGUCAUAUGGUCUGUAGCAUCAGAAUGGUCGGUGAUAGUACACGUAUGUUACUCUAGUGGGAAGUAACAGUAGAAGAUGCUAUAUGAGACUGAAAGACAGAUUAAAGACUAGAGUUACCUGUCAUAUGGUCUGUAGCAUCAGAAUCAAUGACCCAUUUAGAAUGGGAAGACACAAGGCAUGAUGUGGAUUUACCUGACUCGGCGAGUGCAGUGACAGGGGAACUGGUGGACUUUAAGGAUGCCUGAUAUUGGGAGAACUGUGCAAAUUCUUCAGCAGACACCAAAACAGUUUUAUCUGAGGAUGGGGUUGUAUACUCCCCGGUUGCCAUGUUGGCCAUCUGAGAUCGUUGGUUCUUAUUUUGAAGUUUCAAACAUGUGCGCUUUGUAUGACCAGGUUCAUGACAGUAAUAGCAAACAACUCCAAAAUCUCGAUUAGAGGUAGUCUCUCCAUGACGGUGAUUACCUCUAUUGGCAAUAAUCCCUCUAUUGACCCCUCUACUAUUAUGCCGUCCAUUAUCAUUGCGACUCACAAGUGCGCUAUUAGUAGAUUGAGAAAAUUGAGGAGUCUCCGUACGAAGUACUCAGGUGAAAGUAUCAUGGAAAGAGGAAAUCUCAGAGCUAGAAAGAAUCUGAGAUUUAGUUGUCUCAAAUUCUGGGGGUAAACCAGCAAGAAAACUCAUAACCGCCAUUUGCUCGCGUUGAACCUGCUGCACUUUUACAUCAGGACUAAAGGGUAACAAAACAUUAAGCUCUUCAUACAUUGUUUAAUGUCAAGGAGUGAUCCUCGAAAUCCGAGGAUUAGACUUCGGUUUGGAAUCGACUGUUCGUUGAGUGCGCGUAGGCUUCGGAAAGUCCGAAGGUGAUUAUAAUGCAUAAAGUGCAUUAAAGGAAGUCGGAGAAGAACCUCGCUUUUGAUGUUAUCCCGCCAAACACCCCUAGGGCUGGAGAUAGAAGCGACUGGACCUCGAAGUGGUCGCUCCCGAGAUUCCGGCUCAGGCCUGGGAUGGCGCUCGUUAUUCAACGAACCUUAUUGGAGAGGUAUCAAGAAAUUGCAACCGCAGAUUCGAAUCUCCAAAAAGGUGCGGCGCAACAUCGAGGCAAGGAACGAGAUGGCGAUUUCAGUGUGGACGCCAGUGGCGCGCUCCGGUUUUCGAAACGGUGGUGCGUCCGCCCCGAGAAUGAAGAGCUUCGCGAGCUCGAUCUUGCCGGAAGCCCAACCGGUCUCCCAUAUCGCGGAUCACCGGCGGCACCAGAUGUAUCAUUGAGUUGAGAGCCUACUAUUGGUGCCGGGGGAUGAAGGUGAUAUUGGGCGCUUCGUGGCAAGAUGCUUGACUUGUCAGCAAGUAAAGGAGGAAGCGCCGGUUCUCCAGCGAGGAAGCUUCAAAGCCUACCUAUUCCCGUAUGAAAAUGGGAGAUAUAUUCUAUGGAUUUCAUCGUUGGCUUACCUCGCUCGACAGGGGACACGAUGCGAUCUGGUGAUUGUGGACGCACUUGACAAAGUCAGCGCACUUUUACCGAUCCACACCACCUGGGCGGGAGAUAAAGUUGGCGCAGUAUAUCUUGGACGAAGUAGUGAGGUUACACGGGGUGCGAAAUCGAUUGUGCUCGGAUAGAGACCCCAAGUUCACUUCAUAUUUCUGGAGAAGCCUACGGGGGCCCUUGGCACACGCGAUUGAUUUCGGUACUGCAUUUCAAUCCCCGACAGGACGGACACAACCGGAAAGAAACCAUUCAGACUCUGGAGGAUAUGUUGCGACGCGUGUGUCAUCGAUUACAAAGGAGGUUGGUGUAGGUAUUUGCCAAUGGCCGAGUUCGCCUACAACAACAGUUAUCACGCUAGUGUGGAGAUGGCACCGUUCGAAGCUCUUUAUGGGCGGAAGUGCCGCUCUCCCAUUUAUUGGAGUGACGUGGGCGAGCGCACGGAAUUUGGCCCUGAGGUGCUGCGGGAGGCGGAAGAAAAGGUCCGCCUUGCUCGCAAACGAUUACUCACGGCGCAGUCUCGACAACAAAGCUAUGCGGAUAGGCGCCGACGAGAUUUAGAGUUUGCGGCGGGAGACCGCGUCUUCUUGAAGGUCUCGCCUAUGAGGGGUGUAAGGCGAUUUGGAGUUCGGGAAAAAUUGAGCCCCCGAUAUAUUGGCCCCUAUGAGAUCUUGGAGCGGAUUGGGACGGUGGCUUAUCAGCUCGCGUUGCCGCCGAAGCUAGCGGAUGUGCACAAUAUUUUCCACGUCUCCAAUCUACGCAAAUACAUUCCUGACCCCGAACACGCGAUGUUAUACGAGCCGUCGGAACUUCAGGAGGACCUGAGCUACGAGGAAUUCCCAGUGGCAAUUACCGCUCGUGAAGUGCGCAAGUUAAGGAAUCGGAAAAUUUCUUAUGUCCGAGUCCGGUGGAGCAAUCACGAUGAUCGCGAAGCCACCUGGGAGCUCGAGGAGGAAAUGAAGGCGAAUCACCCUCGCCUGUUCGAAGGUUAAAUCGAGGUAUGAGUUUAGAAUUUGGAAUUCUAGAUAAGUCUUGUAGUAUUGAGUUCGUUUCGAGGACGAAACUCUUUUAAGGUGGGAAGGAUGUAAGGAAGUGAAUCAUCGAAAUCCGAGGAUUAGACUUCGGUUUGGAAUCGACUGUUCGUCGAGUGCGUAGGCUUCGGAAAGUCCGAAGGUGAUUAUAAUGCAUAAAGUGCAUUAAGGAAAGGUCCGCGGGAGCAUCAGUGCAAAAUCUGCACUGGAGCAGAAUUGCUCUCGGGGACCGGUCCCUGGCAGGGAGGGACCGGUUCUAUCAGGCUGGGCUGCGGAGGUCUCUGAUGAGACCGGUCCCUGGCAGGCAGGGACCGGUUCCCGAACGUCAGCCCGGCGAGAAUAGCCAAAAUUUGGCUAAGUCCCGAGAAUCCAACUUUCGGGAACCGGUCUCUCGGACAAGGACCGGUCUGUCAGGCAAGGACCGGUUCCCGAACGCGAAAAUCCCUCUGCCCGAGAUGGCAGCCUUCGGGGACCGGUCUCCCCGAGCUGGGACCGGUCCCUCACUGCGAAAAUGCCCAAAGAGGGCUGGUUUGAAGGAUGAAAAGUUGAGGGGGCUAUCUGCAAAAUGGCCUUUAAUAGAGGUGGGGGACCCCUCUCUUUCCCUCAUUGCUCUCUAACUCUCUCACUCUUUCCCUCUCUCUCUCUAGAAAGAAAAGAAAGAGAAGAAGAAGAAGAAGAAGAAGAGAAAAGAGAAGGAGAAGAUCAAGAAGAAGGAGAAGAUCAUCUUCUUCCCUCUCUCCUUCAAGCUAGGGCAAGCUUGGAGCUUGGCUUAGAGGUAAGCUCCAAACCCACUCAUGGUAGAUUUCUUAGGAUUGGGUUUUAUUGCUUACAAUUGGUUCAAAUGGAACCUAGAGGAGAUGAAUAGGUGGUUCGGGCUUGCAAUCGAAGCUUGCACCACGGAUUUCCCCCUCGUUGCCAUUCUAGGGCACGGAUUCGGGAUUUUUGGAAAUCGAGGGUCUUGAUCUAUUCUAAUAGGUCGCAAAUCUAAUUGCUAGGUCCCGGAACGCGUCGGCGAAGUCGGUUUUUCGAUCCGACGAGCNNNNNNNNNNNNNNNNNNNNNNNNNAUUGCAACGACCCGACCCGCUAGCAAUAAUAACUCGUUGGGCCAAACCACUGGCCCAAAAUGCUUAAGCUCAGUUAUUACUAUUAGCGUGUAGGUCUCAUAUAAGCUGAUCGGAAUCAGUAUCCCAUCCAAUGUAGGACUAUUGGGGGUGUUACAAACUCCCCCUGUUUAGACCCUAACGUUCUCGUCGGGUCCAAACCAGAUCACAGACAGACAGACCAGGACCAUUACCAGGCGAUGUGAGAUUCUAGAGGUGGCUCCUAUGGGUUCAAGAGGUGGCUCCCACCAAACCCGUUGGUGUAGCACUUUGUCCCGCAUAGCACUUAGUUCUCACACUUCCGGUUGGUAUUCGGCCCUGAUACCAAUUGCAACGACCCGACCCGCUAGCAAUAAUAACUCGUUGGGCCAAACCACUGGCCCAAAAUGCUUAAGCCCAGUUAUUACUAUUAGCGUGUAGGUCUCAUAUAAACUGAUCGAAAUCAGUAUCCCAUCCGAUGUGGGACUAUUGGGGCGUUACAAACUCCCCCUGUNUGUCGAUUCUUGCAUCUUGUAUUAUUGCAUUAUAGGAUGAUUGUGCAUUGCCUUUCCUUAUGCUUUCCUUGAUGAUAUCGUAGCAUGUAUUGGAUACUUGAUAUAGUGGAUCGAUAAGGAUUGGGUCGAGAUUGUGAAUCCUAUAGUGCAGAGAAAAUGAUGGGCUCAAUGGUUGGUCUAAUGAUGAACAAAGAACGGGUGGCAUCUAGUCAAUAGUAAACCAUGAACGAGUGGCAUUUAGUUGAUAGUAAGCAAAAGAACAAAUGACACAUAUGACCGUAUCGUUUUGGGUUUCCAGAAAUGUACGACUUGGCACUGGAAGCCUCCGCCGCUCAUCUGUUUCCUUCGAACAUCUGAGGCAACAAAGGCAGCUAGCCAACAAGGCUCUGGGACAAUUUUCAGGGUAUUCACACAGCCGCAAGUGAAUCCCAACUCAAGAAACGCGUUCCGCCGGCAGUUUUGCUGGAAAAUGCCUCGAAACCAAUUUUCGGUUUCAUGAGGACUUCAGAGACUUGGACAAUCAGUCCCAGGGGGUCACAGUCGGUGGCUUCACGCUGCCCGAGGCAGCCUAUGCUGUCACAAUUGAGUAGAAGCCCCUAUACUACCAAUAAUUGCAUAAUAUAUACAUAAAAACAGUGUUUCAAGGCCGUUACUGAAAACCGUGCAACUUCGAGACCGAGGGUACCAGCGGGUAGGUCUUGAUGCAACAAACCCUGUGCUCGCUGUCCGAAGCACAAACGAUGGCCGAGGAGCGCGCCGGGUCGACGAGAGCUCUGACUAAAACUCCACUGGGAGCGACACGGUUGUUUCUGCCAACCAGAGCCUCUUCGACAGCAACUAGGGUGAGCACUGUGAUGUAACACCCCCAAUAGUCCCACAUUGGAUGGGAUACUGAUUCCGAUCAGCUUAUAUGAGACCUACACGCUAAUAGUAAUAACUGGGCUUAAGCAUUUUGGGCCAGUGGUUUGGCCCAACGAGUUAUUAUUGCUAGCGGGUCGGGUCGUUGCAAUUGGUAUCAGAGCCGAAUACCAGCCGGAAGUGUGAGAACUAAGUGCUAUACGGGACAAAGUGCUACACCAACGGGUUUGGUGGGAGCCACCUCUUGAACCCGUAGGAGCCACCUCUAGAAUCUCACAUCGCCUGGUAAUGGUCCUGGUCUAUCUGUCUGUGAUCUAGUUUGGACCCGACGAGUACGCCAGGGUCUAAACAGGGGGAGUUUGUAACACCCCCAAUAGUCCCACAUUGGAUGGGAUACUGAUUCCGAUCAGCUUAUAUGAGACCUACACGCUAAUAGUAAUAACUGGGCUUAAACAUUUUGGGCCAGUGGUUUGGCCCAACGAGUUAUUAUUGCUAGCGGGGUCGGGUCGUUGCAAUUGGUAUUAGAGCCGAAUACCAGCCGGAAGUGUGAGAACUAGUAUGCUAUGCGGGACAAAGUGCUACACCAACGGGUUUGGUGGGAGCCACCUCUUGAACCGUGUAGUCCUGGUCUUUCUGUCUGUGAUCUGGUUUGGACCCGACGAGGACGUCAGGGUCUAAAUAGGGGGAGUUUGUAACCCCCAAUAGUCCCAAUUGGAUGGGAUACUGAUUCCGAUCACUUAUAUGAGACUACACGCUAAUAGUAAUAACUGGGCUUAAGCAUUUUGGGCCAGUGGUUUGCCCAACGAGUUAUAUUUGCACGACCCGACCCGCUAGCAAUAAUAACUCGUUGGCCAAACCACUGCCCAAAAUGCUUAAGCUCAGUUAUUACUAUUAGCGUGUAGGUCUCAUAUAAGUGAUCGAAUCAGUAUCCCUCCAAUGUAGGACUAUUGGGGUGUUACAAACUCCCCCUGUUUAGACCAACGUUCUCGUCGGGUCCAAACCAAUCACAGACAGACAGACCAGGACCAUUACCAGGCGAUGUGAGAUUCUAGAGGUGGCUCCUUAUGGGUUCAAGAGGUGGCUCCCACCAAACCCGUUGGUGUAGCACUUUUCCGCAUAGCACUUAGUUCUCACACUUCCGGUUGGUAUUCGGCCCUGAUACCAAUUGCAACGACCCGACCCGCUAGCAAUAAUAACUCGUUGGGCCAAACCACUGGCCCAAAAUGCUUAAGCCAGUUAUUACUAUUAGCGUGUAGGUCUCAUAUAAACUGAUCGAAAUCAGUAUCCCAUCGAUGUGGGACUAUUGGGGCGUUCAAACUCCCCGUUUAGACCCUGGACGUCCUCUUCGGGUCCAAACCACAUCACAGACAGACAGACCAGGACCAUUACCAAGCGAUGUGAGAUUCUAGAGGUGGCCCUACGGGUUCAAGAGGGUGGCUCCGCCAAACCCGUUGGUGUAGCACUUGUCCCGCAUAGCACUUAGUUCUCACACUUCCGGCUGGUAUUCGGCUCUGAUACCAAUUGCAACGACCGACCCGCUAGCAUAAUAACUCAUUGGGCCAAACCACUGGCCCAAGUUAUUACUAUUAGCGUGUAGGUCUCAUAUAAACUGAUCGAAAUCAGUAUCCCAUCCGAUGUGGGACUAUUGUGGCGUUACAAACUCCCCCUGUUUAGACCCUGACGUCCUCUUCGGGUCCAAACCCCAUCACAGACAGACAGACCAGGACCAUUACCAAGCGAUGUGAGAUUCUAGAGGUGGCUCCUACGGGUUCAAGAGGUGGCUCCCACCAACCCGGUGGCUCCACCAAACCCGUUGGUGUAGCAUUUGUCCCGCAUAGCACUUAGUUCUCACACUUCCGGCUGGUAUUCGGCUUCUGAUACCAAUUGCAACGACCCGACCCCGCUAGCAACAAUAACUCGUUGGGCCCAAACCACUGGCCAAAAUGCUUAAGCCCAGUUGUUCUUAUUAGCGUGUAGGUCUCAUAUAAACUGAUCGAAAUCAGUAUCCCAUCCGAUGUGGGACUAUUGGGGCGUUACAAACUCCCCCUGUUUAGACCCUGACGUCCUCUUCGGGUCCAAACCACAUCACAGACAGACAGACCAGGACCAUUACCAAGCGAUGUGAGAUUCUAGAGGUGGCUCCUACGGGUUCAAGAGGUGGCUCCCGCCAAACCCGUUGGUGUAGCACUUUGUCCCGCAUAGCACUUAGUUCUCACACUUCCGGCUGGUAUUCGGCUCUGAUACCAAUUGCAACGACCCGACCCGCUAACAACAAUAAUUUGUCCCAAAAUGCUUAAGCCUAGUUAUUAUUACUAGCGUCUAAGUCUCUUAUAAACCCAAUGACAAUCCAUUCCCAUCCGAUGUGGGAUUAUUGGGGUGUCACAUGUGAUCAAUGGCACAUCAGGGUCACUAUGCUUACUUUUGGAGAGUUAAUGGCCUCUUGGAAUGCCGGAAUAGAAAGAUCGGUCCAGUUCAGCCCUAGAUCGGGCUUGGUAGGGAGCAAUCUUGCUCGGGCCAAACUCCUGCAGCACCGCGGCACGCUUGUCGGCAAGGGUCAGGUGCACUCGACAAGGGGGGUGGCGAUAAGGGGUCCUCCGGGAUUGACGGGAGGCGAUGACAGCGGCAACGGCGAGAGGCGGCGCAAAGAGUGCGGCUGCCUUAGCCCGAAACUGCAUCAAAAUUGGGUGCUGCGGCCGCGGCGGCGCUUGGUGGCGCCUGGGGUUGCCGGAGCAAGGUCGCCGGAGCCCUGGGGGAUGGGACGUCUCCAAGGGGCGCGGCCUUCCUCAGGUGUCUUCGGUUCGGAAAUGGGGUGAGAUGGAGAGGAGAUAGAUUGAGGGAGAGGGAGGAGAUGGGUAGCCGUGGUUUGGCCGGCUGGGCUACGGUCGCUGACGGUUGGGGGUGGGUGCGACACAAGCAGAGGGUGAGGAAGGGGCGGGUAGGGUUCGAAGAAGGUGAGGGGAAAGGGUUUCAUUUAGAGAAGAAACCCUUGGUGCUCCAUUAUGUAAUUUGGGAUAAAUUGCGCAUAACUCCACCAAACUUCAAUAUUUUUUCCCAAGUCCCUCACUGCACGUGUAAAACGCGCAAAGGCACCUCCACAUGCGAUUUCACGCAAUUUGGUACAUAAAAUAUUGGGAGUUUUUCAAAAACAUCAAUUUCCCAAUAUUGCCCUCUCCUCGGAAAAUGCAAAAUUUCGGACGACACGCUCGUCGGAUUUGCAAAUGGAUUGCACUAGCACCUCCGGCACUGCCAGACCAUCAGAUCUACAUUUUCGUUUCGCCUGAAUCAGUUGUCGAUUCGCGAAGAACCCAUCCCCUCUCGCCUCUCUCUAUAUAAUAUAUAUAUAAUUCAAAUUCAAAUUUAAAUUCAAUUCAUAUUUCCUUCAAAUUAAAAAUCUUGGAUAUUACAUGCGCGGUGGUUAGGCCCAAGAGGUUAAGAAGGUUAAGUAUGCUAAAACUGGAGUAGUUUUAGAAUGGGUGACGCCCCGGAAAGAGAGUUAAGUGUGAUAGGACUAGAGUAGUCCUAGGAUGGGUGACCCUCUGGGAAUUAGGGCGUCACAACAUGCUUCUAACUCCUAAGGCUUGCCAUAGGAUGGGAUCAUGUCACACACCAAACCUGAUACAUAAAAGACACCGCAUACCUACCAUUUUUUAAUUACAAACAUGCAAGACAACAAAAUAUGUAGAUAUCGAUAAAAAAUUUUCUACUUGAGAUCAAAUUGAAAUCCAAAGAGAACUUCAAUAAUCGAUUAUCCACAAAACUAAAAUCCAUAGGGCUUUUUUUGCAUAUUGCCCCAUGGCAAAUUUUUAUUUUAAAAAUAGCCUUAAAAUUUAAUUUGUAAAAAUGGCCCUGCGCCUGCCACGCAGGCGCCACAUCAGCGCCACACGGGCGGGGCCAGGGCCAAUGUGUUAAGUUAAACACGGUGAACCAUUCACCGUGUUUAGACAUGGUGAAUGGUUCACCAUGUUUACUACGUAUAUUUUAUAUGUUGAAAAGAGGAAUAAGGAGUAGGGAUGUCAAUAGGUAUGGAUAUCCGAAAUAUUAUCCGAGCCCAAACUCGAAUAAAUUAUAUAUAUAUAUAUAUAUACACAUAAUUUAAUUUUAUUUAUUUAUACAAUAUAUAAAAUAUUUAACCGUUCCUUAGAUCUUCAUCCAGCGGUUAAAUAUUUUAUAUAUUGUAUAAAUAAAUAAAAAUAAAUUAUGUAUAUAUAUAUAUAUAUAUACACAUAAUUUAAUUUUAUUUAUUUAUACAAUAUAUAAAAUAUUUAACCGUUCCUUAGAUCUUCAUCCAGCGGUUAAAUAUUUUAUAUAUUGUAUAAAUAAAUAAAAAUAAAUUAUGUAUAUAUAUAUAUAUAAUUUAUUCGGGUUUGGGCUCGGAUAAUAUUUCGGAUAUCCAUACCUAUUGACAUCCCUACUCCAUAUUUCUCCUUUUAACAUACAAAAUAUACAUACUAAACACGGUGAACCAUUCACCGUGUCUAAACACGAUGAAUGAUUCACCGUGUUUAACUUAACACAUUGGCCCUGGCCCUGCCCGUGUGGUGCUGACGUGGCGCCUGCGUGGCAGGCCCAGGGCUAUUUUUGCAAAUUAAAUUUUGACGGGGCUAUUUUUAAAAUAAAAAUUUGUUAGGGGGCUAAAUGCAAAAAAAGCCCAAAAUCCAUAACUAGAAGUUUCACAAUACUCAAAUUUUUUAAAUUCAUGAAAAAUUUCAACAAUUCUAAAUUAAACAAGUAACUUCUAUUUCAGUCAGAUGUUAAAUUUCAAAGCUAUCUAAACUAUAUAAAUUUAUUAACGGAAGUCCAAAACAAAUCAGCGUCUCAGCAACUAGCUAUCACUCAAUCCCAUCCUCUACAAGAUGAUCAGACAUAGUACCUAGGUGGGCAACUAUUUAUUACAUUAGUCGGAUUAAGCUUGGAAAACAAAAUAUGUUCUAAAUAUUCAAAUGUAAUUUUGUUACUAAAAAUAUAAUAACGAUGAUAGGGUUUAGCAAAAUUUCACAAAUCUCAUUUCAAAAUUUCAAGUCUUAAAACGAUCAUCUUAUACAAAAAUAAGAAGAGGAAUGGACUCCGAUAACUAGCGACCCAUUGGCAAAGAUCGUCAGCACACAUUAGAAGCACCCAAAGGCGUGAUCACAAAGCAAAAGCACCUGAAGGUAUUCCUAAAUAGCUCCCAAAGGCCCGCCCAAAAAAAAACAAAUGAAGACACGACACAAAAUUGCACUUAGAGGUGCAUUACAAAAUCAAAGCUAACUUCUAUUACAAAAUUCAAGCUAACUUCUAUUACAAAAUUUGUGUCGACAUGGCCAACAUCAUUAUAACAAUACCACAAGAGAUCACAAUUUCAAAAUAUUAUUUACCUAUUCAACAAUUUCAACGAAAACAAAUAAUUGAAUACUUUACCAAAUAGGCACAAUUUUCAAAGUACACAUUUUAAAAUUACUCAAUGAUUGAACAAAUCAUUUCACAAAUCCUUCAUUUUCGAUGAUUUAUAGUCUAUACAAACAUGCUCAAUCCUUAUUUUUGAAAAAAAGUAAGCCAAAAAGGUUUUUUUUCAUCAUAACUCAUCUUUAUAGUUUUAUCGAUAAUAAACUAACAGGAGUUAGGUCACUUAUUAUCAUGCCCUAGGCCAUAGCGGCUCGGACGCGUGAACAGAUUCGCUGUAUGUACGAGGACACACCCCACACAUAUGAAACGACUAAAAACAACUUGUACAACAAACAACAAGUCUUAAGAGAUUACAACUAGCAAGUAUCAAAGUCAAUAAAUAAACAAUUAAACAGAUAUAAUAAUCCAUGUACAAGUGUGUAUCCACAACUAUACAUCCAUACAUCUCCCAAAAAGUACAAUAUGCGAAACUUUGGCCUCGCCAAUCCAAAUGUAAAGUCUGCUACACGAGCUAGGGGUCCUCCUCUAUGCCACACAACCAGGGUAGAAGAUGCUAUCUACCUCGCAUCCCCUUACCCCGGCAAGAAGUAGAUGUUGAGGAUUCUGAAGUAGAAAAACAACAAAAUGGAGGGCAUGAGAACUACUGAAUAGUAGUCUCCAUUGGAUACAGUCAACGACAACGAUGACCUACACUACUAGGUCUACUAGAGGAAAUAAUAGAGAAUGACCCGAGUACAAUAGGAUAUAACUGAACCGAUAAUAAUACUAUCUAUCAUGCCUUUACAACAAAUAUUGGAAAGUGGUAAAUGACCAUCUCAUGCAUCAACUAAAUAAAGUAUGCAAUAUAACCCAAUCAUAUAUUGACCGACUCGGUAGUCCAAUCAAGCCGGCGCAGACUUAUUUCCAACACCUAUCUAUAGUGGCCCGCUACCAUGCGGGAUAAUGUCUUUGUCUCAAUCUCAGCCAAUCUCCGGAGUGGCACUCUGUGGGCACAGCUCUAAUUGAGUAUAAUAACAUCUCAAACUAUUUAGUUCGAUGUGGCUAGCAGGCUAUAGUUAUGAUGCGAUGAUCAACUAGAUCAUGAAGGAUGCUGUCCCAAUGCGCUUGGCACAAACACAUUAUAUCUCAUUAUAACCAUCGGCUACUAGCUCUUAGGGCAUAUUGAUAGUUGACAUACCAGUAUAAAAUUAACAUGUACCUAUAUCAUGCUCUCAAACACCAAUAUAAAAUUAACAUGUACCUGUAUCACGCUUAAUGAUGGUCUUAAGAGAAGCAAUCUUCUCUUCCAGUUCUUUGUGAGUGACCUUCUUCGUUUGAUUUGCUGUAGCCGACUGUUUUAUUUUUCUGUUCAGCCACGGCACGGGGUUUGAACCGCCCGCUUCGUCAUCGCUCUUUAUGGGCGGAUAAGGCGGCCGCUGCACAGGCUGCCUCCACGUAUUCGACCUUAUCUCAUUCGUUUCUUCCCAUUGGUUUCUUGCCUCAGCUUGUAUUCUUUGUUUGCGCCGUUUUUGUGUCUUCAUUAACAUCGGCCCAUGCCACCUGGCUGGGGCCUUUGCCAUGACCUGCUGGUCGGUUGGCACGUUGGCUAGUAUCUUCACUGUCGUGAGGUGCUCCCUCAGGAUUUCUCUCCUCUCCCAGGGUCUCGGCCAUGACUGAAUGCCGAGUUCGUUCACUAGACUCCGACGGAGGAAUUCUAUACUCCCUCGGUCAUUCCCUUAAACUCUAGUUUGGGUCUCGUUCUAGGCAGCUGGUGUCACGCCCCAAUUCCCGCCAAUUUGGUCGGGUUCGAGUCACGUCAACAGACGCCGAACGGACAGCAUCUCCCCUGUCCGCCCAAGGCUCUAACAACAAGUAUAAUUAAGCAAACAACAAAGAGAUUUUGCAAUUAUACAAGGCUUGCACGAGGGCAAGCAACAACGGAAGCAAAAGCUCUAAUCUAAAAUAUACAACCAUACAUGAUAUUUGAUUACAUUUCAACCAAAUACAAGUAAACUACAACUAUUAUAUUCUUUUUCCAUUCAACCAUAAUUUUUUACAUUUUUGUCAUUCUCCAAAAUAUAUGAUAUGUUUUCAACUUUACAAUUCUAAAUCAACAAAAUAAAAGUUGAUACAUAUAGGCAAAAGGAAUGACUAAUGCAUAAGUCCGGUGGCCACUAGCUAUGGCGCAAUACCCUUGCCUCCGUCCUCCGCCGCCCAGCUCGUGCUCGGACCUGUAGGGUUAGUGGUGUGAGAACUACAACGAAGUUCCCAGUGGGUUUGGCAACCGACCUCGCCGACUUACCCACUAGGUCUAAUUCAGGCAUAAGUAUUUCAAAGGAAAGAAAAUAGUAACCAUACUUGUAAUAUACCGAAAAUUCGGAAAAUAAAUAUCGAACUUUAGUCAAAUUGACCAAAGUGCGAGGACGGUACACUUCGGAAAGUCCGAAGGUGUUAAAAUGAGUAAAAGUGAGUUACGGGAGGUUUUCGAGAGCUAUAGAAUCAAAUUUGCAAAACUGCAGAUUUUGAGCUCUCGGGGACCGGUCCCUGGUGGGAGAGACCGGUCCCCGAACGCGUAUGGAAUGAGAUUGCCGAAAAAUCGGCUAAGUCCCUGAGACCAGCUCUUGGGAACCGGUCCCUCCCCGAGAGACCGGUCCCCCAGAGACCGGUCUCCUCAAAGAGAGACCGGUCGCAUUGCGCGCAGCAGCUUCGGCUGCGCUGGGAGAGCUCUCGGAGACCGGUCCUUAGUCGGGGAGACCGGUCCCCGAGCCCGAAAUUUGCCCAGUCCAGGCAGUUGAAUAAGAUGAAAGUUGAGGGGUUUAUUUGCAUUUUUGCAACCCAUAGGUUAUGUAGAGGGCUGAGAGAGCCUUUUCUCUCAUUCUCUCCCUCACACACACUCCCUUCUCUCCCUCUCUCUCUCUAGAAGACAAAGAAGAAGAAGAAGAAAGGAAGAAAAGAAGGAAAGGAAGGAGAAGAAAGGGAAGAAGAGAAUCAAAGAGCAAAGGGGCUUCAUCUUCUUCCUCUCUAGUGCAAGAAAGGAGAGCUUACAAGGUAAGCUUUGAACCCUAAUGUAGUAAAACCCUAGAAAUGGGUUUGAAUAAACCUAGAAAUGGAUUGUUUAGAGUUUUUAAAGCUUUCUCUUUGCUUCUUUAGAGAUCAAAACCUUGGUUUGCUAUAGAGGUGAGCUUGGACCACCUCUCAUGGUGAAAUCCAAACUAGGGUUUGGAGUGAGCUAGGGAUAGUUCUAAUGGACUAUUUAGAGUAUAAUGAAGCUACUUUCGCUUCUCUUAGAGAUCAAACCCUAGGUUUUGAUAUACAUGGGAGCUAGGGCACCCAAAUUGGGGCUUUUGCUCAUGAGGGUUUCUAAGUGCAAUUGGCCCUCUAGAAACCUAAUUGGGGGUAUUUCCGACGCGUUGGCUUGCGCGCUCGGAUUAACGUUCACGAAAAGCCGAUGCAAAGUUAUGGCCAAAUAAGCCUAAUUUGGCUUCGUUAUGGCCGCAGGUAAAGAACGAAGGGUCUAAAAUCCUAAGAAAAUCGUCGGAGCACCUAGAUAGACCCUCGAGGGUGGUGCUUCUCAAACUCAUUGAACUUCUCUCUAUGCCUAAUGUGUCAUUCAAUUGAGCAUAUGUAUUAUCUGUUGCAUGCAUUUUAGGUAAAGUGAUGAUGGGAAAUGCGAUAUUGCAUGAUUGUGAGUACAACUUGCAUAAUAUGAUGAAUAGAACCUUAAGAAUGUCGGAAACCCUAUAUGUCUGCAUGAGAGAAAAGUGAGCACCCAAAAUAGAGCAAAACAGAGUGACACAAUGACAUAGAUCGAGUGCAUUUGAUAAGUUAAAGUGAAAUGACACUAGAGAUAGUGUGAGGAAAAGAACCAUUGUAAUGUAAAGAAUCAUGAAAAUGACAAAAAUGUGUAAAGUAAAGUAAAGUGGGGCAAUGAGAAUAAGUAUUGUUAAUGAACAAGAAUGCUAGUGUUAGCAAGAGUAGAAAAAUGUAAAGAAUGUGAUUGCCAUGAGUUUGCAACGUAAAGUGAUAUAAAGAACACUAGAGCUAGUGGAAAGUCAAGAUUGACUUAUUAAUCCUUUGAGUUAAGGAUAUGAUCACACUUGCUAUGAGUUCCGUGCUCGAGGCGGUCGCUCCCCCUCGGGCGAUGCGCCCGGAGUUUUGCAUCACGGGUGGAGUACCCGAAGGACGGUCCUAGCUGGUGAGUUCCUGCGUGAUGGACUUAAUGUGAAGCAAGUUAAUGUGGCAAACUCGGACCGUUAGCUUGAGAUUAAAGAACAAAGAACAAAGAGCAAAGAAUAAAGAACAAAAGUACCAAGUAAAGUCAAAGAACGAAUGAGUUUUCAUAAUCUGCAUAUAUUAAUGUUAGCAUACUUCUUGCUAUUUCGUUCAGCAUAUUAGCAUCAUGUUAUAGAUUGGUUACUAUUACCUGCUUAUCCUUUCUAUUACUAGUUAGUCCUGUGGGAAAGUCGGUGAUGUUGAGGCCGAACCCACUGGGAACUUUGUUGUAGUUCUUCCACAGAGCCUGGGAUCCGAGCGAGCCGGCGAGGCGACCGCGUUAAAGGUAUCGCACCGUAGUCAGAGGCACCGGCAGUUCGAGUGUUACAUUUUCGUUAGCCAGUAAUCCCUUUUUAUCAUCUUUUGUAUUAUGAUAUUCAAGAGGUUAAUGAUAUAAGGCAAGAAAGAAUGUAAAGCUUAUUUUGGUAUAUUGUCAGCCCCGAGACCGCUGCCAAUUUGGUCCGGCCCGGGCGCGUCAAAACAGACGCCGAACGAACAGGACCUCCCUGUCCGCCCAAGGCUAACCAACAGAUCAUGUAUAAGAAUUACCCAGGAAUUAAUUCAUGAAUACACGAUCAAGAAGCACCACCAGUGCAACAGACGAGAGCAAGAUACAAGUAUAAAAAUAAUAUACAAGUACAUAAAGAGAGAAGAUACUAUCUAUUACCAUUCAUUAGCCUUUAUAUAUACAAUUUGAUUAACAUUAAGUUUCUUAACAUAAUAAAAGCUUACAUCUUCCAAAUAUAAACAUUAGCUUACAUUCAUCCCAAAAUAGCUCACAACCUAUACAUCAUCUACUCUCAAUGCAUAUAACGGUGACUCUAAUGCAGAAAUAGGAAAGUAACUAAUGCAACUAGGGCGCUAGCCCUUACCGCGAUCCUCGCCGUGUGAACUCGCGCUCGGCUGUAGUAAAAAUGGGGGUGAGAACUAACUCCUUAGUUCCAGUGGGUUCGGCCGCCGACUCGCCGAUCUCCCACUAGGUCCAAGUGGGCACAAGUAGAUAAUCGAUAGAUAGAUAGAUAAGGAAAGCGGUAAACUGACAGCAGUAAGCUACGCUACUAGCCCAAUCAUAAAUAUAUGAAUGCAUGUACAAUGAAAUGGAUAAACAACAAUCCAUUAUCAUGUCCAAAGGUAAAGUUAUUUACUCGUUCACCAAUCUUUCAUACUUGUUUCUAAAUCUCGGCCUCCCGAAAGGCCUGCUGCUCACUAGCCAUCUCGAAGGUAGGGAGGUCAACGCGCACUACGAACCGAGACCGUCUGCGGGGCCUAAAAUAGGCAAUCCCUGGGACCCGAAAUCGGCAAUCCCACGUGACCAACUCCGGAGCGCCAUACUUGUUGGGGCUUCCAUCACAAGAUUUAAAACAGACCGUGAGCAUGAUCCAAUCCUCGUCUCGAGAAUACCCUAUCCUUUAUGGUUACAACCAUCAUAGGAGUCCAUAGUUUCAUAUACACUAUGACUCACAUAUGCCAUUUGUUCUUUUGUUUACUAUCAACUAGAUGCCACUCGUUCUUUACAAGUUUCCAAUGCAAUAGCCAAUGCAUUAUUAAAUUCCAUCCACACUUAUCAUCUCAUUAUAUUCCACAUCACAUUAUAUAACCUCAAGCAUGCUAAUAUAAGUAUUAAGCCAAAUACAUUAUUCUACCAAAGAACAUGCAAGGUAUAGGACCAAACCAUCAUUUAUCACCCUAUAAUGCAAGAUGUCAAUAUGUCAAUAUGCCAAUUUGAUCAAUAUAAAACUAUAGACAUAAAAGGGAGCCCGAUUGCUUCGGGAUGGACACCACCCACCUUUUAUUGGCUAUCACGAGGGCUAGGGUUCCAAUUUCGUGAUUUUUGGAAGCUUUCGCCGCAAGUGUGCGGCAAUCUGUACCUUAACGGCUUCUCUUUAAUAUCUUCGCGUACGUUCGUCGUAUCGCCGAAUCGACUUCGCCAUCGCGUCAGAAAACCUAGCAAUUAGGUUUAUACAUGAUCAAUUUAGAUACAAAACCCCUCACAAGUAAAACCCCUCUUUGAUGCCCUAACAUGCAACUUGCAAGAAUUCAUCAUUUGAUCUCUAUUCCGAGCAUCAACCAUCUAUUUAGCAUCUAGGAGUUUCACUAAACCGCAUUUCUAAGGCAUAUAAAUCACUACUUGGUAAUCUACCAUUGUGCUAUCAAGCUUACUCUCAAAACCCAAGCUUCUUCAAGCCAUUGAUGAGAAAAAGAAAGCUUCACCUCUAAGCAAGCUUUUUCUUCUCCAAAUCCACCUCCAAUUCUUUGGUGGAGAAGUUGCUAGAGAGAGAGAGAUCUUUCUCUUUGGUGUGCAUUGUGAGGAAGAAGAGAAAAAUGCUACAUCCUUCAUGUAUUAUACAUAUAGGAAACUUGACCUCAAGUUUUCCAAGAACACUAUUCACUCCAGGCAGAUCAAAUCUGAUAUCUUUCGCCGGAACUCCCUGAACAUUCGUUUAAGCUCAAAUUUGACAGUUAUGUUCGGUUUUACUUAGCGAGUCCAAAGAAAUUUUAAUAUUUCAGUUUCGACCCCGUUUGGUCACCGAAAACUGUACCGAACUGCAAUCUUUAUCAGAUAGCUUUCGGAUUUUAUUUCUCACUCUACGGGUGUCAGAAAAAUAUGAAACCUUAAAUCUAGCCUCAUAAAAAUAUUUCUGACAUAUCCUCCAAUUUUCAUAAUUUUCUGAGACUGUGCAUUUUCUGCUAAUAUUUCUGUCCCGUUUCCAACGGAAAAUUUCAGAUCUUCUGUUUUCAUCCCGAUUUCAGCACAGGUCAUUCCCAACUUAUAUUUCACUUUUAUAUUAAAAAUCCGGUAUAUUACAUUCCACCGCAACCUCACCGGAAUCAUUCAAAUGUGCACCGUAACUUCAUUGUUUUAGAAGUCCGGUACCUUACAAUAUGUGAUGUAAGAAAGAAAUGAUGGAGUGAUGUAAUGAAAUACAAAGAAUCCUAAAUGUAAGAAAUGGAUGCAAUGUAUAUGAUCUAAAAUGAAUCAUAUUACUUGUGUAGAAGUUUAGUUUUCCUAUCUUUCACUAAUGGCUAUUGCUUACCCUCGUGUAAGCCGUUUAUGUAUGUUUCCGCUAGUGCAUUUCUCGUUGAAUUUGUACGUGUGAUGAGCCUUGGGCGGAUAGAGGAAACUCUGUCCGUUCGGCGUCUGUUUGACGUGCUCGGGUCGGGCCAAAUUGGUAUCGGUCCCGGGGCGUGACAAUACUAAUGCUAAUACUAUACCUGCAAGAAAUCUGUCAGUGGAUAUAUAUAAUCGAAGCAAUAUUAAAUAUGCAUGCAUGCUUUCCAUGAUUUUACUUUGGCUUUUAUCCAAUCUUACCGGUUAACCUUGUUAACCCCAAAAACUCACAACCCAAAUCCCUUUUAUUCGGGGAGGCUCUAAGCACUACAAGACCCAAGGGACCGUCUUCGGGGACCGCGCUCCCCGUGGUGACAAUUCCGGAACGCACCGCUUGAGGGGGAGCUACCACCCUCAAGCCAAGACUUAUCGUGAGUAUCGAUCCAAUUCCCACUUAGAGAAAGUAUAGCCACUAGCCACAAUGCCACUAUCAUAAUAGGUUUCUACCUAUUUAUUCAUGCCGCUCUCUAGGUCAUUCUUGCCACCGUGUCAAUAUGGUUAAACUAUGUUUAACAAUCAAUUUCUCCAUGCCAACCAUGUCUCUAUUGUCAGUGUCACCUUUAUUACUAUUGUCCAAGUCCAAGUUUCACAUUCAUACAAGUUUAGGGUCUCAACAUGUCCAUUAUGAUUCUAUCAUUCUCUAUGUCCAACUACAUUAGAAGCAUACAAAUGAUGUCUAAUCAAGUUUUACAUGUAAAAUUACCCUACAUGCAUGAAUGAAUCUAUAUACUAGUAUACUCAACAAAGGUGAAAAUAGACAUAAAGAGGAAUCCGAUGAUUCCGGCGUGCACCCCCCACCUUAAAUAUUGUAGAUGGGUUGUAGUUUGACUCGUGAUUUUAGGAAGCCUCUCUCGCAACCUAAACCCAAAAUAAAGCCAAAUUAGGCCCUAUAUACUAGAUCUCAUACUAAACCCUUUCGUAACGUUAAACGGAGUUGUCCCACGCGUCGGGAAUACCCAAUUAGAUUUCCAAGAGGUCAAUUUGCCUCGGAAAAAUUCUAGGGCAAAAGCCCCAAUUUUGAGCCCAAACAAUGCUAUUUUAGGUUUUCUCCUAGAUUGAUCUUAUCCUUAAGCAAAAGAUAGCUUAGAAUCAUCUAGGAAGUUUUCUAAUAAGGUUUCCAAGCCUUUAGAACCAUCCCUAGGGCAUCUAUUGUGAACCCUAAUAAUCCACCAUGGGAGCACCUAAAGGAAACCAUGGUUUUCAUGGUGUUCUUGGCCCAACAAAGCUUCUAAACAUAAAAGAAGCUCAAAACCUUAGAUUCCAUGGUGAAAACCCAAACCCUAGAGUUCUACAAGCAAGAGAGCUCACCUUAGCCCAAGCUUUACCAAGCUUCUUCUUGUUGGAGAGCUUCAAGAUCCUCCAAAUCCUCCAAAUCCAUCUUUUCCUUGCUUCUUCUCCUUCUCCAAGCUCUAGGAGAUAAUCAAUAGAGAGAAUGGGAAAAAUGAGAGAAAAAGAGUGGAGAGGUGUUUGCUGCUGUGAAGGGGGUGUUUGGGGACAUAUGGGGUGUGCCACAAUUGCAAAUAAGCCCCCCAACCAUUUUUAUUUGCAGCAGAUCUCGUAGGUGCUGCCAGACUAAAGUGUACCGGUACACUUUGGGCUGUUACCGGUUACACGAUUACGCAGAGGCAACCCGAGAGCAUUUCCCUCGGAUUUCACCAAAGUGUACCGGUACAUUUCCUACGAAAAUUCCAAACGCGAGAGCUCACUCUGCUCGGGCUGCUGGGCUGUUACCGGUGACAACUCGAUGGUUGUACCGGUACACUUUGCCCGGAAUGCAGUUUUAGCUCCGAUUCGACUCUACUUCGUGCAGGUCGAUGCUAAAACCCCUCUAACUCUUUCUAAACUUACUUUUAGCCCUUCCAACAUUAUUGGAAUGCCAAUUGGAACUCGUCCAUCGAUCUUCUUCGCAUACUUUAGUCAAUUUGGCUAAAGUUCGAUAAUUUCUUCCGAGUUUCAAUAUGUUACAGCUGGUAUGGCGGGUCGAUAUCCUGGGUGCCUUUGUUGGAUGCCGAAGGGUUGUUUUGGGUAAUCCUCUCGGCUUGUUUGUUCUCUCGUAUGGUAGUAAUCCUCUAAGACUUUCUAGAUCAAGAGAUCCUUUUUAUCUUUCUUGGAUACUACCUCUUCCUCGGACUCGUUUGAGGCCUCUUUCGAACAUUCGUUUAAGUUACCAUUGGCCUCUGGUAAGUCCUCCCAAUUUUAGGGAAGGCCAUAGAUUCCUUCUAUUCCCUGUACAACUUUUUUUUUUUUCCUGAAUGAUAGCUUUCCAAUCUCGACGGGUCAUUUCGGCCUUGCAUUUGAUGCAAAGCCGAAGCGCUCUCUUCGUACUGGUUAUAUCCUCCUGGAUCUUUUCUUCAAGCGGCUUUUUCCCCUUGACAUCCACCAUGUUGACCUGAUAGGGAAACGGGUUUUGGUCAACUUCCAUAUCACUUCUUUUUUCUUGGUCGGCAAACACCAGUUGACCUUCAUUUAUUUCUUUUUGAAUUUGCCUUUUGAAGGCUGUGCAAUCAUUAGUUCAACAGCUCCAGGAAUGGUGCAAUUUGCAGUAUUUUUUUUCUUCAAUUCCUCUUCCGGAGGUAAUGUUUGUCCUUGAAGCUUAAUUCUGCCAUCUUUAUACAACCGAUCAAAUAUUUGACCGGUGUUGGCAACGUCAAACGUAUAGGUGUAUGUCGCCAGUCGGCUUUUGUUUCACCAGCUAUUGCUUGUUUGAGCAGCGCGCAUUUGUACGGCUGCGGUUUUUACCAUCUCAGCCGCAUAAAUUUCGGUCUCGUUAGCCGAGUCUUCUGUCUCGCUUGAGGGAUUUGGCUAAUCCUGAGCCGAAGUCUCUUCAAUGAAAGAGACAUUCUUCUCUUUCCCUCUGUUCCUAUCCUUGUUUCGGCCCCAUCGUGGCCGAUCCUCAUUAUUUUCCUUCCUAAAUUGUUCUUAAUGGGCAACUCAAACAUCUAAGAAUAAAUUCGAAAAGUAUUUGUCUUCAAAAUGGUCUUUUAUCUUAAAAUGCAAACCAUUGAACACCAUUUUGGCGAAUUCUGACUUCAGCAUUCUUACGAAACACCGGUUUCUAGCCAUUUUGAAAUGGUUCAAAUUUUUCUCGACCGAUUCAGUCGACUUUUGUCGCUGUAAGGCCACGCCGGCCACCAAUAAUUUUGGUUCCGACCUAUAGAAUUGCUCAUGAAAUUUUCUUUCCAAUUUGUCCCAAUCUCGGACGAAAUUGGCUGGUAAACUUGUAUACCAGGUAAACGCCGUUUUAGUUAACGAUGUGUUAAAUAAUCGAAGUUUCAAAAAUGGGUCUCCGACUGCUUCUCUACACUGGGCCGUGAAUCGGGCUACAUAUUCUACCGUAUUCUCGGUCUCAUCGCUCGAGAACUUGUCGAAUUUCGGCAUUUUCCAGUUUGUCGGGUAUACGAAAGUGCUACUGAUACUUAUAACAAGCAUAUAAUCUUAAGCAGUAUAUGUUGGGGGUACAUUCUAAAUUAUUCAAAAUAUAAAUAUCUCCUCAAUCCUUUCUCUUUGAUUUGAGCACGAGGGACAACGGGUCGUCGAAGUUGGUCGGUGGCGACGUCGGCAUAGCCGGCGGUGGAGUUGGCAGCGAGUCGAUUGUAGAAGCUGAAUCUCUGUCCUUCAUUUUUCUUUUACUUCUUCUUCUCCCUCUGUUACUUCCUUCUCUCUUUUUUUCCCUUUUUUUUUGCUCUUGAGUGUGUGUGGAUAGGUUUUUGGGUGUAUGUAUGCCUGAGUGUAUGUGUAUGCUCUCGGUGUGUGCUGGGCUCCUUCGGUGACAAGACGGCUCGAGGUGACCCAUGGCUAGAUCCGCGGGAUCUUCGUAUGGUAACGCCGAUGGGAGACGCGAGAUGCGAUGGUGAUGAUGAUGCUUUCGGAGUAGCUAGAUUUUUGGCGGCAUAUUCGGGAUUUGCCGAUGCGAUUUGAGGUGACGGGGGCGCGAUCUUCGAGAUUCGUGUACGGGACGGCGAGAUUCGUAGAAUCUCCGAGGUUGAGGUGACAGUGAACGGCACUGGAUUUUCGAGAUUUCGAGAUCAACUUGAGGAGAUGGUGAACGAUGCGGGGUCUCCGGGAUCACGAGCUCGCUGACGAGCUCCUCGGGUUGGGGUGGCGCUGCUAUGGAGAAACGGGAGACAAGGACUAACCCCUUUUGUUUUCCUUUUCUGUUUCUCCUUUUCUUCUCCUUUUUUCCUUUUUUUUCUCUCUUUUUUGUAUGGGUGUUUUUUGGGCUUUGUUUAUUUUAGGUAGGUCCAACAUGAGCCGCGGACUAAAUCCGUACCGCAACCUGGACCACCUGAUCCCACAUGUCAACUAAACCCUGAGCAAUACAUUCUUAUUGACCUGAAACUCCAGGUCAUGCCGACAAAAGUUCGGGUAAUUUCAUUGCCGACUUAGCUAAAUCAAGAACCUUUGCGUCGCGAUGCGAAACUUGAUCAAAGAGUCCUUCACCAUAUUUGGCCCAAUCACCGAUCGCUCACCGACAUCAUCUCCACGUAUCGUGAACCAACGUCAACGCUCACACAAUACCUCUUAAAGAGCCAUCUCGAUAUUCACCAGACGAUUGUUGUUGUAAGCGAACUCCACUAGGGACAAGUACUUGAAUCAACUUUUGCUCAAAUCCAACACACAGGCCUUGGCCAUGUUCCCGAGGGCCUGAACAAUAUGCUCCAACUAACUGACUUCGUCAACCGGCCCCCCAUGACCUAAAACGCGACGUUGCCUUGUGGCAGAUGAGGCAACCCGACAAAGUCCAAUGUUAUUCGUUCCCACUUCCGCACCAGCACAAGGGGGGUUACAGCUUAUCCGCUGAUUGCUGAUACUCAUCUUUUGCCUGCCAAUGCUUCAAGCAUUGAGCCACAUUUUGUGCAACCUGUGCCUUCAAUCGAGACCAAUAGUCUAUCUGUUUAAGAUCUCAGUACGUCUAGAUACUGCAGGGUUGCACAAUAUAAGGAGGCCGGUGUGCCUCAACUACUCUCUCUCGCCUCAUGUUGAUUAAUCUAACAUACUCAAAUGGUCCCUAAAAGAUCAUGGUAUAGCAUUAUUAAUGUAUAAAACUAUAAUUUUGGUUUGUUAUCGAAGAUUCUGCGAUUCAGAAUCCAACCAGCUGUGCUGUCUAGAAUGUAUCGUCUCAAACGCCGUGCUCAUUGUUCGGAGCGCGAACAGUGACCAAUGAGUGCGCCAGAGCAACUUGAACUUCAUAUUCCAAGUACUACGGGAGCGACAUUGUCCAACCAGCAAUACAAGGCCAAUCUGAUUGCUGCAAAAUGGAGGACGGUGACCUACAAGCCCUCAAGAAGGCCGUGCUCACUUGUCGGGAGGUCGCUAGCGCCGGAGUUGGCUGGAACAAAAAGGUUGGCCACAAGAAACCUUAACCCUGAGGUUGCUCUGGAGUAGGCUAUUCCUUCUGGGGCUCCAGCAGCCAAGAAAGGCAGCUUGGCUAGGAGGGUGUCGUGGCCGACUAGGAGGGCUUCGAGGAGGCGGCGUCCGGCAACGUGAAGAGGCAGCGGUGGGGAGCUGCGAUGGUGCCUGAUCUGGUGUUGCAGCCAAAUGUAUUUCAGCUCAGGAUCAAAGUUUGAUCCCGGGCUCGGGUGGCCACGGUGGCACCAGCGCUGGCCAGAGUGGCAUCGCCAGAGUCUUCGGAAGUCAUCAAGAGGCGACUGCGUACGUAUGUGUGGGAGAAUAAGAAAGAGAGAGAAAGCUCAUAGUGCGGGUGAGAAAAGUCGUAGGGGAGAGUGAGAGAGAGCAGGUAAGGACAAGAGAGAGAAGGACCUUAUUUUAGCUAGAGUUAGGGCUUUUGCACAUAAAUAUCCAAACUUUAUAAGUUAAACAAAAUAGUCGAACGUGGGUGCUGUUGGAGGGGACGGUCACCUGGGUGGGAGCAGCCGUGGGUGCUGCUGCUUGCUGGAGAGGGAAAGCAGAGACAGUUGCAGCAGUGGUGCCGUUGUUCGAGAGAGAGAGAGAGAGCUCAAGGGAAGUCAUCAAAGCUUCGACCCUUUUAGCAAGGUGGCCGGCGACAACAGAGGAGCUUAGGCACAUGUUAAGGGUAGUAGCUUUUUUUGGGGGGGUGGCCGGCGACAACAGAGGAGCUUAGGCCCACGUUAAGGGUGGUAGCUUUUUUUGGGGGAGGACAGAGCAAGCUAGGGUUUUUAAUAGCUAUCUUUAAGUGUGACGGUUGCACUUAAUUCUCCGGACUCUUUUCUUCUCUCUGUUUCAGCCUUCUCCUAGCUAAAACAAUAGAAAAACUACACUUUAAACCCUGAAAAAUGUUAUAUAUGAAAUGUAGCACUUCUGGAAUUUUGAAUUUUUAAACUCUCGGUUAUUACACAUGCUAUUGCUAACAUCAAUAUUUGACCUUAAAACCUAAAUAAGAAAUUCUUUGUAUUAGUCUCUUGUUUCUGUUAUUAAUUCUUUAAUAUGCUUCUUUGAUACUUUCAUAGUCAUAAAAUCUAUUUGCACUUUUUAUAUGCUUUAAUUGCAGUUUUCUCUUUGAAUACUUAAAUAUUGUUGUGAUCUAUUGUAAUCUGGUAAUUUGUUACAUGACAGACAUUUUACAAUAAUGCAUAUCUCUUUGGAUAUAAUGACUUGAUAAAGUGAUAUUCAGAUAAUUAGUGUACAUGGUCGGUUGUCUUCAUGAGCUUUAAAGGUGUAUUCGCUGAACUUUAAAAGCUAAACAAAUGGUGUUUUUAGGGGAAUAAAUAACCUAUGCUUUGAGUUUUAAAUCAAUAACUUUCAUUGUGAUACUCUUGAUCAAUGAUUUCUCAUUAAACAAAUGGUGUUUUUAGGGGAAUAAAUAACCUAUGCUUUGAGUUUUAAAUCAAUAGCUUUCAUUGUGAUACUCUUGAUCUAUGAUUUCUUAUCAUAUUAUUUUCUAUAAUAUGCUGGCUAGUUUCUCCUGUGUUUUGCAUGAUAUUUCCACCUCGUGUAGCAAGUAUCCUAUUGCUUUUCCUUCUUCAGAGAUUGUCCAACCAAGGUCGGCAAGAAUUUUGAGACCAAUUGAAUAACCUUUCUCAUACACUUCUUUCCUAAGUUUCCUUUUAAUUUUAGUUACAAUGAACAUAUAUCCAUUUUAUGUGAUGUUUUAUAUAUAUAUAUAUAUAUAUAUAUAUAUAUAUAUAUAUAUAUAUAUAUAUUUACUAGCAUGACUUGUAAAACAAUGUAUUAUUGCCUGAGAUGUAAAUUAGUUAUGAUUCAUUGAAAAUCGUGAUGUUUCAGGAAACUGGGAAACAUUGGAAAUUAAACCAAAAGAGAAAGGCUUGGACAUAAGACUUGAGCUAAUUAAAUUCUAUGAAGAAAGUUACUCGGCCAACCUCAUGCACCUUGUUGUAUAUGGAAAAGGUCAUAAAUUCGUAUGUAAUGUUUGUGUUAGUGUUCUAACUUCCAUUUUGAUAUAUAAAUCCUCGACCCUUCACUUGAUGUUUGUAGAAAGCCUUGACAAUUUACAAAGUCUAGUGGAAAGCAAAUUCUCAGAUAUUAGAAAUAUUGGAAGAGAACAUUUUCAAUUUCUUGGUCAACCUUAUUCAAGUGAACAUCUUCAGGUAUGCUUGUGUCUGACGAUGUUUGAUUACCUGUAGACAACAACACUUGGCACCAAUAUGUUCUGAAAUUUGGUUUUUGCUGCUGUGCCACAGAUUCUGGUAAAAGCGGUUCCAAUAACGGAAGGUGAUGUAUUGAGAAUAAAAUGGCAAAUCACUCCUACCUUACGGUAUUACAAAGAAGGGCCUUGCAAUUACCUUAGUCAUCUUAUUGGGCAUGAAGGAGAGGGAUCUCUAUUUUAUGUUUUGAAAAAGUUGGGUAAGAUCGACUCCAGGGAGCUUGAAACUCUUUUCAUAUGUUACUGAAAGUGUUGUUAGUUGUUACAUACGGUGACCUAGUAUCACAUGCAUCAUAAAGUCAAAAAGUUGAAAGCAUCUUAAAUGUUUCAAGCGUUAAUAUAAUUUUUACUGAUCUAAAACUCCUUAUGGUUCCUGCAUUAUUUGAUCUUUUCCCGAUUGCAGAAAGAUGGAUAAUCUUGGUGGAAGUAUAUGUUUCUAUAUUCUUCACUUUUGGUUAUUCAAUAUACUACAAUCUCUUCGUGAAUAUUUUAGAAUAUUGACUUGCUAAAUCCCCACAUGAUUCAUGAGAGAGAAAGAGAGAGAGAGAGUAGUAGUGAGGUAACAAUCUUUUACAUACAGAAAAGGGAGCAGGAAGGUAGAAAGAGAGAGAUAAGUAGUGAGCUAAAAAUUUUGAAGUAUUUUCCUUGCAUGCUGAAAGGGGAGCAGGAAACGGGUAGGGGCUUAGGUAUGUUAACAUUUUACUUGCCAUCGACUGGAAUUGUUUUAGGAAUAUGGACCAUUUGUUGUUAGGUACUUUUUUUCAAUGCUCCUGUCAUAAGUUGUCAAUCAGUUGCUUGUAUGCCAUAUAUAUAUAUAUAUAUAUAUGCAAAAAUUAAACAAUAUUGUACAUUCAUUAGUUACUACAAAUUAUCUAACCUAAUUCAAGAAUAAUUAAUAUUGCAGGAUGGGCUCUCAGUUUGGUAGCUGGGGAAGCAGGUGCCAACUUUGAAUAUUCCUUUUUCUUUGUAAGCAUUGGGCUCACUGAUGCAGGCCAUGGUCAGAUCGCUUCUAGCAUUUUCAUUGCUGAGAGUUUUAUGAUUGCAUAACUUACUAUAGACACGUACAAUGGUUGCAGAGCAUAUUGAAGAUAUCAUUGGGUUGUUGUUCAAAUAUAUACGCCUGUUGCAGAAUUCUAGAUUCCCAGAAUGGAUUUUUAAUGAGGUAGUAGAAUUCAGUCAUCUCAAGUUAAACUUUAUUUUGGAUUAUAAUGUGAAUAAUAUCAAGAACUAUAUGAAUGAACAUGUUAAUGCCCAUAAAAUUGGUCGGCCCAUAAAAUUGGUCGGCCAUUUAUUACAUGAAAAUGCAAUGAGCUACAACAAGCAUCUGAAUUCAUAAUCUUUCACCUUUUAUUUAUCUAGUUAAAUAGAUAGAUACUGAGUUUCUAAAGCUUGCAUGUAUAAAACUACUUACAUUGACAAUUCUCUUCUGUUUUAGCUACAGAAGUAUGGAUUUAGGUAGUUGAGGCAAAUUAUGUAUGAAGGUAUUAUAGCUAAGUAUCUACGGCCAACAAUUCAUUAAAAAGGAGGAAAUUAGGAAAAUAAGUGAUGAAAUUAGGAAAUUAAGUGAAGAUUGUGUAUUUUCUGUCCAAUACAACUUGAUUUACUAAACCCUUACAUGAUUUACAUUGUAGUUUCAUACUUAAAAUAAAAUAUCGCACAUUAGGUAACUGUCUCAUAUAUUAGUUUAGUCUUGAGAAUGCUAGAGAAAGAAAAAUCUAACAAAUUAUUUGUAUUUUAGAUUUCAGCGAUAUCUAAGACACAGUUUCAUUAUCAAGACAAAGUCCCUCCAAUUAGCUAUGUUGUUAGUAUUGCUUCAUGCAUGCAGGUAUGCCAAAUUAUCAUCACUUUCCUGUAUCGGAAUGUUUAUAUCCUUUUGAAAGUAAUUUAAUCAUAUUCAUUAAUGUUGGAAAAAGAAAAUGAUAUUCUUGGUAGAUCUUAUUGUGAAUCUCGCUAUUUGCGAAAGUUCAGUGCAUUAAACUUUAGAACCAAGAAAAGAAAAAUGUAAUAAUAAAGAAAUAACAUGUGCGAAUUAUAACUUGAAAUACAAGCAUGCUUUCAUUUGCAAAGAGCUAAAUAACACAUAACAAUAGUAAGAUAAUCACAAGCAAGGAAUAGAGUAUAAAUUAUGUUCAAGGGAACUAGUAUUAAAUUGGUACACAAUCAGACAUAGUGUUAGCAAAAUCUCAUAAAAAUUCCAGAUUUUUUAGAGAUCGUUCCACCUGCAAGCUUGCCAUGCAAAAAAUUCAAUAACUGACCAAAUUUAAUAUAACCAUCUUUGGUCAUCCACAAUAUAAGCUAAUUUUGAACUGGGUAUUUCAUUUCUUGCUUGUAUAUGGUGUGAUUAUCAGCUAGAUAUGAAAACUUCUAUCUGCUUUUAGUCUCUACCAAUCAUUGCCUCUAAAUGGUGUAAUCUUAUCUUUUUUGUGAUUGUGCACAAUAUUUGGAAUGCUAUUUAUAAUCAAGAUGUGAUCACUCAUUUGAUUUUUAUAACCUGAUUUUGUUAACUGAUAUGCUAGUUUUUCCCACCGGAAGAUUGGUUAGUCGGAGGUUCAUUGCUCUCGAAGUUUGUCCCGAGCAGAAUACAAAUGAUACUGGAUGAGCUGACUCCCAGUAAAGUUAGGUAAGCUUGCAUGAUACUUACUAGUUUGUCAAGGAAGCAAGGUUUUAAGUGACCAUUGGUACAGAUUGCAUCCAUCAUUCCGUAUCGUGCCGACAAAAUAUUAGUAUGAUAUGACUCCUCUGCCGAUAGCAUGGCUGAACAUUCUUAUUUUAUUUUUUUGAAGUUAGAAAGUAGUAGUCUUAAUAAAGUGCAAAAUAUUUAAUAAAGAUAUAUAAUAUGUAACUUGAAUAUGUUAGUGCCAAAGAAAAUUUUUUUUUUUUUUUUGUCAUAGUGUGUUGUCACACAGGUAUUUUUCUAAUUGACACACAUCAGCAUGGUACAAUAUGCACUAUGUUGUACUGCGCCAGUGAGGUCUUGGCAUGACCCUGUGUCAUGAGCACUUAAAUCUUUGCAUAUACAGAAGUAUUUUAUUGAAGCUAUUAAGUCCAACAAUUUUGACAUUAUAUGCAUACGCUAAGUUCCAUGCAUAAUUAUCCUCAUUUGCUUUUCUAAAGUUAUUAAAUAUUAACUUCAACAAAUGUGUCAUGCCUUGUUGUUAGAACAUGGCGGCGUGACUAGAAACAACUAUGUGAUGAUGAUUUUAUUACUGACUGUGAAAUAUGGUGCAUGAUCAUCUACAACAAUUAUUUAGAGUUGGGUCUGCAAUAAACCAACAAGGCUAGAGGAUAGGUUUUAUAGCUACCUUACUAAAGUGUGGUAAUUCUACAGUAGCAUAAAUACUUUCCUGCUAAGAUGUCACUAGUGAGAUUUUCUUAGUGCUGUCUACUAACAAAUUGUGGUAUUUGAAAUGGUAGUAGUAAAUGUCAGCCCUGUUUAGUGUUUUUUUUUUUUUUUUUUUUUUUUUUGUAUGUGUGUUCUGUAAACACAAAUUCUAUGUUUUGGAAUAUGCGAUUAGAUGCAGAAUGUUUAGCAAUUCAUACAUUUGGAUUAUUUUGGCAACAAAAAGAAAAAAAAUAUAUAGUAACUUUUUUGGAUUCUUUGUUCAUUUGAAUUUGGCAUCUAGCUGAGUUGCUGUGCAAGCCAGACUUAAGAUGACAAUAUUAGAUCAGUUCAUCCUCCAGUCCAAUGACAUAGAUGUUCAAUUUAGGAAGGAAAAAAAAUGCCAACAAAUAGCAAAUAAAUUCAUAUGGAUUUUGGCUUGCCACUAAACUGUCCCGCAGUUGGGUAAAUUUUCAUUCUCAAGCAGCCGAGAAUUCUAUGAUUUACAUUGACAGCAAGCUUACGAUCGAUUCUUGUUGAUCAAAAUUAAUUUUUAUAAUGAGUAUCCAUGACAAGAUUUCUUUUCUUUUUCUGCGCUUCAAGAAUUUAUAUUAUAACCAUAUGAAAUUAUAUAUAUACACACACACUAAAUAUAAAAGUACGUAUUUUGAAUUUGGGUUUAUCGACAUAUUCACUUUUUGGAGGGAAAAGAAACUUUGAUUCCUCUUUAACUUACGCAAAAUAAAUAACAUAAUGAAACAAACUUUUAAUUCCUCUUUUUCUAAUGGAUAACCUUUCAUUUUUUUUUUGGUCAAUUUGCAUAAAAAAUCCACUAAUUUUGGGCUUUUGCAAAAGUGGGCCACCUUUUUCGUUUUUGCAGAUUCGGUCCGAAUUUUCAACAAACUGACCAAAAUACCCUUAUUACUUUUUCUCUCUCCUUUUUCUCUCUCUUCUUUUCUCUCGUUCAUUUUUUUCUUCUCUCGCCGAAGAAAGCAGCGGAAGCAGAGGCGGAGGCGGAAACGGCCCGCCUCGCCUCUCACCCUCAUGCUCUCGCCCUCGUCUUUGCCCUCGCCCGCGCACCACCCACCUUCCUCGCUUCUGACCCUAUCGAGGCCGCGCCGCGACUCUUUUUUUUCUCCUCUCCGACUCUUCUCCACCGUCUUCGACAACGAUGCCUCUCUCGCCCUUCCUCGCCCUUCUUGUCCUCUCACUCUCCCUCCUCUGCCACCUCCGACGACGAUGCAUGGUCGCUGCGACGCUGCAGCCUCGGAGCGGGGGUUCCUUAGCGGCGUCGUCGCCGGUGCCAUGGCCGUUGGCAGAGAGAGGUGACAAAAAAAAAUUAUAGAAGAAGCAAGAAAAAAAAAUUAAGAUAAAAAAUUAUAGAAAAAGAAAGAUGAAGAUGAAAUUGCACCGUUAAAAUAAAAUUGUACUGUUUUAAAAAAACAUUGCACUAUUAUGGACAUAAGUUGUACUAUUUAAGAUGUAAACUGCAGCUUUAAGAUAAAAAUUACACUUUUUAAACGAAAAUUGCACUCUUUGUAAGAUAUUUACACUGUUUCUCCUCUUAUUGCAUUCUUUUAGAUGUAAACUGCAUCCAUUAAGAUGAAAGUUACACUCUUUAAACAAAAAUUGCACUCUUUGAGAGAUAUUUACACUGUUUCUCCUCUUGUUGCAUCCUUUGAGAUGUAAACUGCACCCCUUUAAGUUGCACUCUUUGAGAGAUAUUUACACUGUUUCUCCUCUUGUUGCACCCUUUGAGAUGUAAACUGCACCCCUUUAAGAGAUAUUUAUACUGUUUCUCUUCUUGUUGCACUAUUUUUCCUCUUGCUGCACUAUUUCUCCUCUUGUUACACUAUUUUUUCUCUUAAACUGCACCCUUUAAGAGCAGAAAUAGUGUAACAAGAGAAAUAGUGCAGCAAGAGGAGAAACAGUGCAACAAGAGGAGAAACAGUAUAAUUAUCUCUUAAAGGGUUGCAGUUUAUAUCUCAAAGGGUGCAACAAGAAGAGAAACAGUGUAAAUAUCUCUCAAAGAGUGUAACUUUCGUUUAAAGAGUGUAACUUUCAUUUUAAUGGAUGCAGUUUACAUCUGAAAGAGUGCAAUAAGAGGAGAAACAGUGUAAAUAUCUCUCAAAGAGUAUAAUUUUCGUUUAAAGAGUAAUUUUCAUCUUAAAGCUGCAGUUUACAUCUUAAUAGUGCAACGUUCUUUUAAAAUAGUGCAAUUUUAUUUUAACGGUACAAUUUCAUCUUCAUCUUUCUUUUUCUGUAAUUUUUUAUCUUUAUUUUUUUUUCUUGCUUCUAUAUUUUUUUUGUCACCCUUUUCUGCCAGCGUCGGCGACAAUGCCGCUAAGCACCCUCGGCUCUGCAGCCGCAGCGACCUCCACGGUGUCGGUGUCGGCAAAGAUGCGUCGUCGUCGAAGGCGGCAGAGGAGGAGGGAGAGGGAGAGGACGAGAAGGGCGAGAGAGGCGUCGUCGUCGGAAACGGUGGAGCAGAGUCGGAGAGGAAAAAAAAAAAGUUGCGGCGCGGCCUCGGCGGGGUCGGAGGCGAGGAAGGUGGGGGGUGCGCGGGUGAGGGCGAGGGCGAGGGCGAGGGCGAGAGCAUGAGGGUGAGAGGCGAGGCGGGCUGUUUUCGCUUCCUCCUCUGCCUCCGCUGCCUCUUUGGCGAGAGAAAAAAAAAAUGAACGAGAGAAAAAAAGAGGAGAGAAAAAGUAAUAAGGGUAUUUUGGUCAGUUUGCUGAAAAUUCGGACCGAAUCUACAAAACGAAAAAGGUGGCCUACUUUUGCAAAAGCCCAAAAUUAGUGGAUUUUUUAUGCAAAUUGGCCUUUUUUUUUUUAAUAAUCAUUCAAGAUCUUUUCCUUUUGAGUGAAUAUUUUUAGAUUAUUUCAGUGCUAUCUUCUAAUGUUUAGUUGUUAUAUUAACUUUUUAUUAAUUGCCACAAAACAAUCAAAUUUGAAUUUUAAUUUCAAAUAUAUAAAUAUAUAUAUAUAAAUUUUAACCUUAUUUGAUUUUAAAAUUUUAUUUCAUUUUAAAUGCAGAGUUGAAAUUUAAUUAUUUAAAUUUCUAAAUUUAUAAAUUAAAGGGCUUUUUUUGCAUUUAGCCCCCUAACAAAUUUUUAUUUUAAAAAUAGCCCUAUCAAAAUUUAAUUUGCAAAAAUGGCCCUGGGCCUGCACCACAUCAAUGCCACGUGGGCAGGGCCGGGGCCAGUGUGUUAAGUUGAACACGGUGAACCAUUCACCGUUUUCAAACACGGUGAAUGGUUUACCGUGUUUCAUAUUUGUAUUCCUUUUUUUUCUCUUUUUCAAAAGUCCAAAUCCGAAUCCGAAAAUCAAAUUAAAACCCAAACCCGACGGAUUUUAAAAAUUCAUACCCAUAUCCAUAUCCGACCAAAUACUUGAAACCCGAACCUGAACCCAGCGGGUUUUAAAAAUCUAUACGGUUGGAUAAAGAUCUAAGUAAUAAAAAUUAUUAAAUAUUUUAUAUAUUGUAUAAAUAAAUAAAAAUAAAUUAUGAAUAUAUAUAAUAUAUUCGAGUUUGGGUUCGAAUAAUAUUUCGGAUAUCCAUACCCAUUGACAUUCCUACUCCCUAUUCCUCUUUUCAAUAUUUGUAUUGCAAAAAAUACGUACUAGCUCUAAACACGGUGAACCAUUCACCGUGUUUAGACACGGUGAAUGGUUCACCGUGUUUAACUUAACUACCGCCCCCAGCCCCGCCCGCGUGGCGCUGACGUGGCACUUGCGUGGGAGAGGCAGGGCCAUUUUUGCAAAUAUAAAUUUGCUGGGGUUAUUUUUAAAAAUAAUUUUUUUCAGGGGUCCAAUUGCAAAAAAAGCCCUAAAUUAAAAUAAAAUUUGAGUUUAAAGGCCAAUUUGCAUAAAAAAUCAAUUAGUUUUGAGCUUUUGCAAAAGUAGGCCGCAAUUUUGAAUUUUGCAGAUUCGAGCCGAAUUUUCAGAAAGAUGACCGAACUACCCCUCUUUCAAAAUGCAUAAAAAGUACAUGUAUUAAUUGUCUAGAAAAAUACAACUGCUAAACUAUUAAGUGUCAAAUUUUUGAAAAUUACAACUGCGAAGCAAUAAUUACAUGUACCUUUCUCGUUAAACGAGAACCCUCAUUGAAGACAAAAUAAAAAGAGUAAAGUAUAAUUAAUAAGAUGAAAGAGUUCAACAUCCUCUCAAAUAGUGCAACAUGCUCUUCAAAAUAGUGCGAUAUCUGUAUAAGUAGUGCAAUAUAUGCAUUGUUAAUACACAUUUUGAAUGAUUUUUACACUAAAUUACGAAUAGCAUAGUAUAUUAUGCGAAAAUAAUAUAAUAUAUUACAAUGUACUAUAAAAAUUAUAUAAUAUAUGUAUAAACGGUGCAUAUUUUACACCAUUUGUGUAAACGUUGCACUAUUAUAAGAGGAUGUUGCACCAUUUAGAUGUGUGUUGCACUCUUUCCUUUUGAAAUUAAAUUUCAUUGCAUAUUAUAUAAAGUGUCAAAUUUUUUGGAAAUGAUAACUGCUAAGCCAUAAUUAUAUGUUCCUUUCUCGUGAAACGAGAAUUCUCAUUCAAGACAAAAUAAAAAGAAUAAAGUGUAAUUAAUAAGAUGAAAGAGUGCAACAUCUUCUCAAAUAGUGCAACAUGCUCUUUAAAAUAGUGCAAUAUCUGUAUAAGUAGUGCAACAUAUGCAUUGUUAAUACACAUUUUGAAUGAUUUUUACACUAAAUUACGAAUAUAUAGUAUAUUACGCGAAAAUAAUAUAAUAUAUUACAACAUACUAUAAAAAUUAUAUAAUGUGUAUAAACUGUGCAUAUUUUACAUUAUUUGUACAAAUAUUUGCACCAUUUGUGUAAACGUUGCACUAUUACGAUAGGAUGUUGCACCAUUUAGAUGUCUGUUGUAUUCUUUCUUUUUGAAAAUUAAAUUUCAUUGCAUAUUAUAUAAAGCGUCAAAUUUCUUGGAAAUGACAAGUGCUAAGCUAUAAUUAUAUGUAUCUUUCUCGUGAAACGAGAAUUCUCAUUCAAGACAAAAUAAAAAGAACAAAGUGUAAUUAAUAAGAUGAAAGAGUGUAACAUUCUCUCAAAUAAUGCAACAUUCUCUCAAAUAAUGCAACAUGCUCUUUAAAAUAGUGCAAUAUCUGUAUAAGUAGUGCAACAUAUGCAUUGUUAAUAAACAUUUUGAAUGAUUUUUACACUAAAUUACGAAUAUAUAGUAUAUUACGCGAAAAUAAUAUAAUAUAUUACAACAUACUAUAAAAAUUAUACAAUAUGUGUAUAAACUGUGCAUAUUUUACACUAUUUGUACAAAUAUUUGCACCAUAUGUGUAAACGUAGCACUAUUAUGAUAGGAUGUUGCACCAUUUAGAUGUCUGUUGCACUCUUUCUUUUUGAAAAUUAAAUUUUAUUGCAUAUUAUAUAAAGUGUCAAAUUUCUUGGAAAUGACAAGUGCUAAGCCAUAAUUAUAUGUAUCUUUCUCGUGAAACGAGAAUUCUCAUUCAAGAUAAAAUAAAAAGAACAAAGUGUAACUAAUAAGAUGAAAGAGUGCAACAUCCUCUCAAAUAGUACAACAUGCUCUUCAAAAUAGUGCAAUAUCUGUAUAAAGUAGUACAACAUAUGCAUUGUUAAUACACAUUUUGAAUGAGUUUUACACUAAAUUACAAAUAGUAUAGUAUAUUACGCGAAAAUAAUAUAAUAUAUUACAAUAUAUUAUAAAAUUAUACAAUAUGUAUAAACGGUGUAUAUUUUACACUAUUUGUACAGAUAUUUAAACCAUUUAUAUAAAUAUUGUACUAUUAUGAGAGAAUGUUGCACCAUUCCAGAGAAUGUUGCACCAUUAAAGUUUUUAGAUAUUACACUAUUUGGAAAAGCAUAUUGCACUAUUUGAGAGGAAACAACACUCUCUCAUCUUAUUAAUUAUACUUUAUCCUUUUUAUUUUGUUUUGAAUGAUGAUUCUCGUUUUACGAGAAAGGUACAUAUAAUUAUGGCUUAGCACUUGUCAUUUCUAAGAAAUUUGACACUUUAUUUAAUAUGCAAUAAAAUUUAAUUUUCAAAAAGAAAGAGUGCAACACACAUCCAAAUGGUGCAACAUCCUCUCAUAAUAGUUCAACGUUUACACAAAUGGUAUAAAUAUCUGUACAAAUAGUGUAAAAUAUGCACCGUUUAUACAUAUGUUAUAUAAUUUUUAAAGUAUGCUGUAAUAUAUUAUAUUAUUUUUGUGUAAUAUACUAUACUAUACGUAAUUUAGUAUAAAAAUCAUGCAAAAUGGAUAUUAACAAUGCAUAUGUUGCUCUACUUAUACAGAUAUCGUACUAUUUGGAAAAGGAUGUUGCACUAUUUGAGAGGAUGUUGCACUCUUUAUCUUAUUAAUUAAACUUUAUUCUUUUUAUUUUGCCUUGAAUGAGGAUUCUUGUUUUACGAGAAGGGUACAUGUAAUUAUGGUUUAGCAGUUGUCAUUUCUAAAGAAUUUGACACUUUAUGGCUUAGCAGUUGUAUUUUUCUAGGCAUUUAAUGCAUGUACUUUUUAUGCAUUUUGAAAGAGGGGUAGUUUGAUUAAUCUGCAAAAUCCAAAAAGACGGCCUACUUUUGCAAAAGCUCAAAAUUAAUAGAUUUUUUAUGCAAAUUGGCCGAGUUUAAAUUGUGAACUAAAUUUAAUUUUGGAUAUCAACUUUGAGUUAAGAAUUUAAAAAUUUAGUUAAAGUGGAUUAAAUUAAAAUUUUUUUUUGAAUUAGGUGUGAAUUAAAAUUUUGAUAAUUAAGUUUAAAAUUACAUACUUAAAAUUUUGGGUCUGUCAAAAUUCGAAAAACAUACAGAAAUAUUCAUUAUAUAUAAAAAUUAAAAAAUAGAAAUAUAGAGUUAGGAUAUGACAGAUAUUGUUUAAUAAAUUAUAACAUAUGAGUUUAUUUCUUUAUUUAAAUUUUUAUUGUAAAUUUUUUGACAAAUACGAUAUACUAAUUUAUGUUGACUUGAGAUAACUACUAAAAUAAUUAAGAUGUUCAUUUGCAUGUACACUCAACUAGUGUGUGUGUGUGUGUAACUGAACUUCCAUGUAUACUCCUGGAGAAAGAGCAGUUUCUUACACAAGUGCCUUAGCUUAAGUUGGGUAGCAAUUCAAUUUAUGGGGGCGAGCUUGUUUUGUAUCAGGAAAAGGUUUGUUAUAGAGCGGUUUUUUUUUUUGGUGUGUGUGUGUGUGUAUGUAGUAGAGUAUAUUUGCAACAUUUUGAGUUUUCGAAAGGCAUGAUAUUAAAAUUAGGUUUCUACAUGGGCGCACAUAUAAAUAUAAAUUAUUUAUUUCAAGUAAGAAGUUGUACUUUUGCAUCAGAAUAUUUUGGGAAUCUAAGAAGUUUGAUGGAUCCGCAAAUUUGGUUGAGCCAUGGUAUGGGACACCAUAUUCUGUUGAAAAAGUCACUCCGUCCAUGUUCCAGGUUUGCUUACCUGUUCUGCUCUUUUUUCACUUCUUAGCAGAAAGCUUUGCUUCCUUCCAUAGUUUUUAAGAUUUUCCUCAUUGAUACAGUUAUUUUGUACAAAAUUUUGUAUCUCAUACUUGUUUCAUCAUUGCUUAUAGGUGAUUUAUUUAUUUUUUUUCUUUUACAGCAAUGGAUAGAAAAAGCUCCUAACGAAAAUCUGCAUCUUCCGAAGCCAAAUGUAUUCAUCCCAACUGAUUUAACCAUCAAACUUGUGCAAGAAAAGGUGACUACUUCAUAGCCUGAGUUAUAUUAACUCCAAAGUUUGCCUUGGAUUGAGUGACUCCUGAUAACUGCACUGUUUUACCAGGUUAAGGUUCCAAUAAUGUUGAGGAAAUCAUCAUUUUCAAGACUCUGGUAUAAACCAGAUACAAUGUUCUUAACUCCCAAAGCUUACAUUAUUAUUGAUUUCAAUUGCCCAUUGGCCAACCAUACACCUGACCAAGAAAUCCUUACUAGUCUUUAUGUGAGGCUAUUAUUGGAUUAUUUGAAUGCUUUUGGUAUGCUGCUAUCUUUCAAUAAAUUUGUUUGCAUUACUUAUGAGCACACAAUCUAUGCAUUUUAGUAUGAACAAGGAAUCAAGCAUCAGGUGUAUCGAGGCACAUCAUGCAUACCAUACGGCGCCGAUGCAUUAUGAGCACAAGGCACAGGGGUUUAUCAAGCGUCCUACCGUACAUCAAUACUCCUAAGCAUAUUGAGUGAGAGAUUUUGACACCGCAAGUGUAUCAUAACAUGUGCCAAACACAUACUAAAACACCACACUUUCUGUUUCUGUUUUCUUCCUUCACUUCUUUCCUCUCACACUAUUUGUACUUAUCCCUCAUUCACUUGCAACAAUCCUAGAAGGCUAGAACAAAGAAAACGAAGGAAGGAGAUCUCGCUCUCGCUCUCUCUCUCUCUCUCCCGCUCUCUCUCUCACUGAAGAUUUAAGGAAUUUCCUACAAAUUUUCUAUUAUUUUUAAAACUUGCCAUGAAAAGGUUAAGAAAUUUAAGUAAAGGAUGCCUAGAUCCAUUUGAUCUUAUUUAUCAUAUAGAUCACUUCAUCAUGAUGCAGAUUAUGCAGAUUUCUUCAUUGGUAUAUUGUAUUUUGUCCAUAACCAAACUCCCGAGAAAUAAUGUUAUAAGACCUUUACACAUAAAAUUCAUAACAAGACAGUUUCAAAGUGUCCCCAUAUUUGCAGUCAAAGGCCUUCUGUGCUGAUUUACCAUGCCUAUAUUUGGCAUUGCAUAGUGCCCGUCCAUGCUGUGCUAGCAAGGGCGUGACAUGCGCCCAUAACUUGGCUCUUUAAAGCCUGGAGUUUAAGAAUCAUAGUGCUUGUAGCUACUUGAUGGUGACAUUACUGUCUUGACCACAAAAUGGGUAAUGCCUAAGCUAAAAUUUUGGAAUACAACCUUAUAAACUAAAUAUUUCUCAAGAAGAACAUCUAAAAUCAACACAAUGAAGUUAAUCAAAUAAAGAAGUUGUAACUUUGUAGAACCAGAUUUUGGACAAGUGUCUCUCAGAACAUUUUUUAUCAGUUGACUGAAGUUUUAUUCUCAAUUAUUUGUUAUCUGCCUUAUUAUCAUUACUUUCGAACUUAAUGUUCGUUCUUCUUACAUUACGACAUCUGUAAGUCACAUUCUAAGUUUUUUGUUUUUUCAACUUGCAGCUUACGAUGCUGAUAUUGCUGGUCUUUCUUAUUCAAUCCAACAGACUGUUACUGGAUUUCAGGUACAUUUCUAGUGCCCAAUGUAUCAUUACAAUAGUAGCCAAGAGAGAUUUAGACCAACUUGUUUGUACACAACCUAAUAGUUUAUUCACCUAACUUGUUGGUAUAGAAUUUUGCAAUUACAGUUAUGAAGAAGUUGUACAUGUCACUUAACUGUGCUAUCCUGUAGUGUAGAGAACAAAAGUUGCUAGUUUGUUAUGCAUGAAUUGCAAUUUCUUGUCACUAGGCACUUUUAAAAUUUGCAUACUUAUCUUUUACAAAAAAAAAUAUCAUUGUGCUUCUUUUUUUUAAAAUUGUUUUAUGUGGUCUAUUCCUCAAGUUUUUCUUUCUUAUAGCAGAAAUUUAAGUACCUUAAUCAAUGUUAAAACAUCUUGUUCAUUUAUUAUUCAUUGUCAUAUAUUCAAAAAUAAUAUAACUUAAAUUGAGCGCAUCCUAUUUGUCCCGUAAAAAAUGUCGACACUCUCACAGCUUGAAGAUUGGCUGAGAUUCUGAGACAAACCAAAACAUUUCUGUUUUGACUGUUGCUGAUCCAAAUCCAGGUCUAGGACCAACUUACACCUGAGGACAUCUAGUAUUGAUAGAAUGGAUCUAACAAAAAGAUUAUCUUAUAGCUAAGUAUGAUUCAUAUUUGAACCUCUGAUUCUUUCUUUUUUUUAUUUUUUAAUCUUAUAGUUUGCAUAUAUUGUGUCAUUUGAUGAUUUUGAUCUCAUUGAUUAAUGACAACAUGAAAGUUUGCUAUGUUCAUAAAAAUAGUUGUUGUAGCCCAUAGAUCAUCAAGCUAAGUUUCGUUAUGAUUAUCUAAUACUCCAUAUUUGAUCUUUUCGAAUAGUUUGAAGAAUUCUCUACCAAUACCCAAACCCAUAACUCUAACCUUAAACCUCCCAAAAUGUUUAAAGUUUAAAUCGGAACUCCAGAAGCUAGACUAAUGUCAAAAACAAAACUGAUGUUACGAGCCCUGAUUACAAAAUAUUUAAGCUACAUUAGCAGGAAUACAUUUGAUGCAGUUAAUUUCCCGUAAACCUUGCUAAUUUUCACCCAUCUGUGAUACUUGUAGCAGAAAUCAACUCUAACCUAAUCUAUAUCUACAUGGUAGCUGAUGGAAUCAUGGAAUCACAUACUUGUAUGCAAAAUGCAUUACUGAGGCUUAUGACCGGCCUUUAUAAAAUGUGUUACAAUGAUCAAAGUUAAAUAUAUGGAGAAUACGUUGUAUAAGAUAUUAAGCUCUUAAUGCAUAUCUCAUAUGCGUUUAUAAGAUACUAAGAUCUUGAUGCAUGUCUCUUAACCUUCUGGUUUUCAAUCUUUAUAAGCACUACCUGUAAUAUUUCCCAGGUGAGAGUGGCUGGUUUCAAUGACAAAUUGAAGAUUUUAUUGGAUGAUAUAAUUAGUCAGAUUGAGAAAUUUGAAGUAAAACUAGACCGCUUCUCUGUUUUGAAGGUAAGUAACUCCCCACGAUGCAGUAGGAAGAUUAAUUUUUUUGAUUAUGGCUGUUGCUAGUUGUAAAACUUUGAGAAUUUGAAAUAAUAACUUCUCUAUUUUCUUUAUUUAUGACUAAGUACAACAUAUAUAGCCCAUACUGGUCAAUGUGUACAAGGAGCAAAAUAAGGUAAAGAUCCUUAUGAUUUCUCAACUACUCCCAACUAAUUCUAUAUUUUCUCUACUCCAUAUUUACAACUUCAUCCUAAUCGUUACACCUCAUCUAAUACUCCCCCUCAAGUUGGCGCAUGGAUGUCAAUCACGCCCAACUUGCUAAGUAAGAAUCGAAACCGGUCCCGUCCAAGGGCCUUUGUAAAUACAUCAACCAAAUAGAGUUUGGUUGGUACGUAAGCUAUGACGAUGUCGCGAAGUUUUAGGUGAUCUUGUAUGAAAUGACAAUCUACUUCGAUGUGCUUCGUUCGCUUAUGAAAGACAUGAUUAUCAGCGAUUUGGAGUGUGGCCUGAUUAUCACCAAAGAGCUGCAUGGGCUGAACAUGAUCGAUUCUGAGAGAUUGCAAAAGGUUGCACAACCAUAGUAGUUCACUGGUGGCAGCUGCCAUGGACCUGUACUCUACUUAUGCUGACAACCUGGACACAAUGGUCUGCUUCUUGGUUUUCCAGGAGAUAGGACAACCACCAAGCAUGACAAAAAAUCUGGUGACGGAGCGUCGCGUCAUCGGGCAACCAGCCCAAUCCGAGUCACAGUAGACGUUCAAUUACAAAGAUGCUGGCACACUGAGCAAGAUCCCCUAUCCCGAACUUUGCUUGAGGUAUCGAAGGACUCGCAUCGUUGCAUCCCAGUGCAACAUGCAGGGGUUCUGCAUGAACUGAGAUAGGAUAUGGACUGAGUAGCAGAGUUCUGGUCGUGUAAUGGUCAAGUAAAUUAACCGCCCCACCAGGUGUUGAUAUUGUCCUGGAUCGGAUAUAGGAUCACUGGAGUCUGUAGAUAAAAGUGUUGUUGUUCCAUAGGGAAUAGUGAUGGUCUAGCUCCGAGCAUGCCAUAUUCGAAAAUAUUUCAGAGGGCCGAGAUCCUUGAUACAAAACUAGGUGGCCAAAUAAGUUUUGGAACUCUGACAUUAACUUGAAUCAUUUCAUGCUAAUAUUAAGUCAUCUAUGUAGACCACAAUGGCUAUGAAAGUGGUGUCCUUACUAUAUGUAAACAAGGAAUGGUCAGGUCCUGAUUGAAUGAACCCAGGGCGGAAGCGAACUUUGCAAACCAAUUUCUAGGAGCUUAACAGAGACCAUAAAGUGGCUUUCGAAGCGGCAAGCUUUGCCGCGUCCCAUGACAUGAAAGCUCGGCGGAAUACUCAUGUAUACUUCCUCUUCGAGGUCACCAUGUAGAUACGUCACCAUGUAGAAACGCAUUGUGUAUGUCCAUUUGAUGAAGUUCCCACUUCUUGAAAAUCGAAACAGUCAGAAGACAGCGUACACUCACCAAUUUAGCAACCGGUGCAACUGUCUCAUGAAUCAAGUCCCUUGAUCUGAGCGAACCCUUUUGUGACGAGACGAGCCUUAUAACGCUCCACACUGCCAUCGGCCCUACGUUUCACCUUGAAUACUCAUUUGCAAUCAAUUGGUUUCUUAUUUGGUGAAGAUCUUCCGUGGUCCACGUACUAUUGUCUUUAAGAGCCUUUAUCUCUUGGGCUAUAGCAUCUCGUCAGCUAGGAUCUUUCAUUGCUUGAGAGUAAUUUCUGGGCUUGUUAUCUUCAUCGAGAGCCGCUACAAAUGCUUUAUGAGAUUCAAACAAUUUAUCAUGACAAAUAAAAUUUUCUAUAGGAUGGAUCGUACCUAAAGUCUCUUUGGAGUGGAAUGUCAUGUAGAGGGGGGUCUUUGAGUUUGGUGGCACGACACAUAGUCUCGUAGGUGGGUUGGUGUCUUGCGCAUCCUUCUAGGCCAUGUGGUUUUGAUCUUUGUCAAAUCCAGCCCACCAUAGGCUUCAGGCUUACUCCUCUUGUCCAGUGUAAUUUCUUCCUUGCUGGGCUCCUGCAUUUCUAGGCCUGGUUCGAAUUGGGCUUGCAAGUUGUUGGGCUCGUCAUUGAGUUCAAUUGUACUAGACCCGACUGGAGAAACCGGGCAUGGCUGAGCUACUGGCCCGUCUAUAGAGAUCGGGUUGACUUCAUCGGCUUCCUCAAAUACCAAUGGCACAACCGGUUGGUCUUCGUUGUCAAAUUUUCCUUUGCUAAAAACUACAUCUCUCAACACAAAAACUUAUUGUGUGUCAAGGUCAUAUAGUUUCCAUCCUUUUUGGGCCUGGGGAUAAUCAACAAAAAUACACUUUUGAGCCCUUUUAUGAAAUUUAUCAUGGACCCGCAGCUUCCAAUGAGCAAAAUAUAUGGACCUAAAAAUUUAAAUAUGAUCAUAAUUCGGAUUUUGCCCAAAGUGUACCUCGUAAAGUGUCUUUCAGGAUAACAGUCAUGUUGGAGUGUAAUUGAUGAGAUAAACGACGGUUACAUAUACUCGCCCAAAAACUUAACAAGUAGUCCUGCUUCGAAGCGCAAGGCUCUCGCUACAUUGAGUACAUGCCGGUGCUUACGUUCCAGUCUCCCAUUUUGUUGAGUGUCGAUGCAGGAGGUUUGGUGUAUUAUCCCUUUAUUUGAGUAAAACUGCCGUAUUGGACCUAAAACAAAUUCUCGACCAUUAUCUGAUCUAAUUACUUUAAUUAUGUGCCCAAAUUGAGUUUUUACCAUAUUAUAGAACUUUAUUAAUAGUCUGCAUACUUCAGAUUUUUCUUUAGUCCCUCGGCUGUGAUCAUCAAGACAUCAACUAUGGUUAGAAAAUAUCGUGCGCUUGAUAAGGACACCAUGUUAUAAAGUCCCCAGAAAUCACAAUGGUUCAAGUCAAAACUAGCAGUAGCUUUAUUUUCACUAACAUCAAAUGGUGCUCUAGUUUGUUUCGAGCAUAAACAUAUGUCGCAAGAAUCACUAGAAGACUUAUUAACUGAAAUUCUAGGAAUUAAAUUCAAAAUAUAGCAAGAGGGAUGGCCUAGUCGUUGAUGCCAUAAACCAUAGCUCUCCAUCGUGGUUAUUGUACGUGCUGACAACAGUGCCACACGCCCGAGAUGAUAGACCCCUCCCCGCAAUUCACCCAUUCCAAUCGGCUUCUUCGAGGUGAGGUCCUUUACAAGACAAAAAUCAAGAAAAAUGUCACCAAACAGUUUAGAUUAGCAGUCAACUUUCCAAAGGAAAUUAAAUUGCACAUAAAACCAGGAACAUAAAGAACAUUUCGUAAAAUUAAAUUCAAGCCUAAUUUCACCCCUCGCGUCAUCUUAGCCUGAAUCGUCUCCUAUUUGGGAGUUGUAUAAGGUACAGCGCUUCUACUCUCUCGGGUUCAUCAAGAUAUUCUAGUCGUCCAGUCAUGUGCAUUGACACUCCUGUGUCCAAUAUCCAAUCCACGGUAUCAUUGUGAGUGAAAUUCUUACCCGACAUUUGUUCAGUCGAUCUUCUUUGAUCAUUCAAGAGCGCUAAAAGCUGUUUAUAUUGUUCCUUUCUGAAGCUUGGGGCCAUUUGGGUUGAACUCUGGAGUGGAUCUGUAGCUUGUGCCAAAUGGGCAGUCACAACUGGACGAGCUGUCCGCUGUUGUGACGAUUUACCCGCAUCACCCACUCCUCGCCGCGUCCGCCUCUCCUUCCUCGAGAUCCACAUCUCUGUUCGCAAUUUUCUGGGUAACCAUUCAGCUCCCAGCAGCUCUCUCGAUCAUGUCCAAUUUUUUGACAAUGGUCACACUUCAGCCUAUGGCCUUGAGUCGGUAUCGCGCUCCCUUUUCCGCUAUUGUUCGCGAAAAAGGCCGCCGCAUCGACCUGAUCAUUUCUUCCAUUGGCAACCAUUCGUUGACGCUCCUCUUGUGUGACCAUUGACUAUGUUUUGCUCAAGGUCGGCAGAGAAUUAGGGUAGAAUAUUUGUGAACGAACAGUGCCAAAAACCUCGGCAUUGAGGCCCAUGAGAAACUGGUAGAGUUUCUCCAUUUCCUUCUUCUUAACGUAAUCCUGGGCUGCCGCGCACGUGCAAUUUGGCGUUUCGGAAUAAUUUUCGAGUUCGUCCAUAGAGUUUUCAACUUUGCAUAAUAAUUCGCCAUCAAUAAGCCCUGUUGAGGGAGAAGGCAAAGCUCAGUUUUGAGUUGGAAGACUCUUGGGGCGUUCCCUUGAGAGAAGCGGCCCUUCAAGUCAUCCCACAUAGAUUUUGCAUCUUCGGCAUAAGCAACACUCCCUUGAACGAUUUGUCAAGAAUUAAAGAUCCAAGCAAUGACCAUUGAAUUGCAAAUCGUCCAGUAGCUUGCGUCCGGUGCAUUGGCGUUUGGCUUCUUUAAUGUCCUGUUUACGAUCCCGAGCUUGUUCUUUGCCUGCAAUGCAUUCUUCAUUGCCCUUACCCAUGUUGAAUAGUUGCACCCAGUGAGAGAGCAGGAAACCAGCGGGGUCCUUGGAUUAUUCGAGGAACUAAGCUGGUAUGAUGGUGGUAUCUCUACCAUCGUCUUCUGAUUGGCCAUGUUGAGUCGAGGUCGUGAACUAGAAAAGCCGCUAGGGUUUCGUUGAUAUCAGGAUCGGUGCUCUGAUACUAAGUAAAACUUUGAGAAUUUGAAAUAAUAACUUCUCUAGUUUCUUUAUUUAGGACCAAGUACAGCAUAUAUAGCUCAUAUUGGUCAAUUUGUACAAGGAGCAAAAUAAGGUAAAGAUCCCUAUGAUUCCUCAACUACACCCAACUAAUUCUAUAUUUACUCCAGAUUUACAACUUCAUCCUAAUCUUUACAGUUUACACCUCAUCUAAUACUAGUAUUUUCUAUAUGCAAUAAAUAGGGGUGUUUUAUCAAGUUUUAUGCCAGCAAGCAAAAGAAAACAUAUCUAAAAGUACUAUGAAUUGUGCAUUAGGCAAGACUUGAAGAGAGAUGGCAUAGGUGAAAUUUUGUGAUUUACUAGAUGGGUCGAGUAUGCAUGUAAUAUUUAGUUUUAGACCCUUAAAUUUUUUUUUCUUCAUAUGUGCCUGAUUGAUGUUGAGCAUCUAUGUGAGCUGCUCAACUGGGGUAGAUAGCUUUUUGGUUUGCCGAAAGCAUGUACUGACUUGUUAUAGU
Molecule: long non-coding RNA, 58428 nt
Filed under: Ananas comosus (pineapple)
Lineage: Eukaryota; Viridiplantae; Streptophyta; Magnoliopsida; Poales; Bromeliaceae
Description: long non-coding RNA (ACOM_LNC011998)
Source: RNAcentral